Molecule: long non-coding RNA, 85910 nt
Filed under: Ananas comosus (pineapple)
Lineage: Eukaryota; Viridiplantae; Streptophyta; Magnoliopsida; Poales; Bromeliaceae
Description: long non-coding RNA (ACOM_LNC027998)
Source: RNAcentral
UCUAAUAAGGGUGUAAAUUUUGAGCCUAAAAAUUAAAUGACUAUGAACAAACUGUAAUGAUUUGAUUCGUCAAUUUGAUCGGUUCAAAUUAUCGCCCAAAAAAUAUUCAAUUCUAAAUUACUAUCAUUUACAUGUAAAGCAAGAUGUUAACAUCCUUUAGGUGGUUCGGGAUUGCGAAAAGGUUAUAUUAAUUACGCGCUAUGUAAAGUAAAAAGGUGCAAUAUAUACAAUAAAUAUUAGACAUUUGUGGCGCCAAAGGUGCUGACUCUCAAAUACCGUGUUACGUGAGGUCAUUGUUUCCUUUUUUUUUUUUAUUUCGGAUCUACGUACAUUAACUUAUGAGAUCCUCCCUAUCUUUUUUUUCCUUUUAGUCCCCACUGCUAUUUAAACAGGCGAAAGAGAUGUGAAAGAGAAGUGCCACCGGUGAACAUGAUGAAGCACAAACAUCCAAAUACAGCUCUGGUGCUCUUGCUUGCCAAUUCUAGUGAAGUUACAAAGCAACUAGCUAUUUCAUGGACCACCACCUUAUCCUAAAAGCAACUAGCUAUUUCAUGGACCACCACCUUAUCCUAAAAGCAACUAGCUAUUUCAUGGACCACCACCUUACGCUAAAGGGGGAUAUCUCGGACCUGUUUCAGGAGAUGUAUGAGGGGAGGCUGUCCACCAACUCUAUUGACUACACUUUCAUUUGUUUAGCCCCCAAAAAGGAAGGGGCUGUGCAGGCGAAUGACUAUCGUCCUAUAUACUUACUGAACGGGAUCCAGGAGAAUUUAUCGAAGGUUUUGGCCAAUCGUCUUGAGCUGAUUAUGAACGACCUGAUUUCUCCCUCCCAAUCUAUAUUCUUAAAGGGUAGGAAUAUACCUGAUGCAUAUGUAGCAGCCUCCGAACUACUAGGAUGGGGAUACAAUAUGGCUAUAGAGGGGGUCGGUGUGAAGGUGGACUUCGAAAAGACUUAUGAUAAGAUUAGUUGGCCUUUCCUGUUUCGUAUUUUAGACUGAUGGGGCUUCAGCAAAAAGUGGUGUGAAUAGAUCAAGCUAUGUGUGUGUUUUACCAAAGUAGCAGUUUUGGUCAAUGGAGAGGCCACCAAUUGGAUAAAGACGAAGAGAGGAGUAAGACAAGAGGACCUGCUUUCUCCUUUUCUUUUCUUACUGGUGGCGGAGUGCCUUGCCCGAAUGGCAAACGAGGCAAUUUCUAAUAUUCUCAUCAAAGGCCUUGGACCCUCCAACGAGAGUAGAGUUACUCUUAUUCAGUUUGCGAACAACACAUUCUUCUUCUGCGAGGCUAGAAAAAAGGAUAUAAGAAAUCUCAAGUUCUUAUGGCAGCUCUUCGAAUGGGCUUCCAGAAUGAAGGUUAACAGGGAAAAAUUAGAACUAUACUAUAUUGGGCAGAUUGAGGGAAAAGCGAUAAGACUUGCGAAUUUACUCGAGUGCAGAGUUGGCAGCCUUCCUACCAAAUAUCUAGGGCUGCCUCUUUUUCCCAGAGCACCUUCAAAGCGGAUUGAAUGGGGAUUGUCUAGAAAAUAUAAAGUAAAAUCGAUGGCUAGCAGGCCAAACUCUUUUUAAAAGGGUGCAGGCUUAUUCUGGUGAACACGGUCUUAACAAUUUACCCCUACUUCCUGUCUACAUUCAAGGCACCCAAAUGGUGAUCAAACGCAUUGAGGCACUUUGUAGAGACUUUUUCUAGAAAGAAGGUAGCUUCUCUCCAAGCAAGGGAUGUCUAAUCACAUGGAAGAAUGUCUGCAGAAAUAAGAAACAAGGAGAGCUUGGCAUCUUGGACUUAACUAUUAUGAACCUAGCUUUAAUUGCCAAAUGGUGGUGGAAGUUUUACACGACGCCUCAAUUAUAGUGGAACAAGAUUAUGUCACGCCCCGGGGUCCCUUUUUGAUUUAAAAGUCAAUGCGGAAGUGUCCAGAUUUUUUUUUUUUGAAAAACCUGACCGGUCAUGCCCCGGGACCCAGCAGAAGCCCGCCCGGUGCGUGUCCAGACCCGCCAUAUGCCUACAACAUAUAAGGCGUCUACAACAAGCAAUAAUUAAAUAAGCACCUAAAGAUAUCAGAGCAAGAUUGCAACUAAAUUCUAACAGCAAGAAGAAAUAAAAGAAUUGAACAGCUAACAUAAAAGUAGAGGUAGAUACAACAAGAUCCAAAUACAAGUGCUAGAUAUACAAAAAUGGUGGCCUCUACAUAAAGGUACAAAACUCUCGUCCUUUCCAAAUAAUACAAAUGAGAGGUGAACCACCUAAUAACGAAGCUCCUCACAACUAGCUCGAGGCAAUACCCUUGCCGCGGUCCCGAGCCUCUCCCGGCAUAGAAGGCUUUGAAAUAAAACAACAAAACAGAGGGUGUGAGAACUAUUAAUCAAUAGUUCCCAGUGGGCAAACCGCUGACCUUAGCGAAAUACUCCACUAGGUUAAAGAGGCAAAAGUAGUAAAUGAACUAUAAUAAACAACAUGUAUGUGAAAUACAACAAUGAACUUGGCUAAGUUACUAUGCCUCAAGUUUAGGAUGAUAUUAAGCAUGAAAAGUUACUAAUCUAUCAUAAACGUGUAUAUCCAAGGAGUAUACUAGUAUGCUCUAAACAUCACCAACAUAAAUAUAAAUAUGCACCAAGCAUGGUUCACAAGUAUACCACUAUGUCCAACAAGUGUAAUAAUAUGCCCAACCAAUAUCUACUAUUAAGUAGUAAUUGUCACUUAGUUGUUUAUAUGUCAUUUUUCAUUUCCAAUCUAGGACCUACACAAGUGUAGUCCGGCUUGUGCCGCCUAAUGGUCACGGGUAGUCCAGCAUUUCUCUAGGAAUAUGAUUGUCCCACAGUGACCCAAUAGGUCUUCAAUCCCGCAUGGGCGAGCAUAUAUUGUGUAGGCCAACUCCAGAGUGCCGGCUUGUAGGGAGCGACCCUCACAAGCAUGUGCGAAUGAGCACAAAUAGCAAGCAAGCAUAGUCAUCAUCUUAAGUAUACGGUCAUCAUGUGUCAAUCACGGUAUAAACACUAGCACCUGAAAGGUCUAGUUCUACGUCACAAUGCAAAGGUUCCACCGUUUACUAGGUCUAAUGCCACUUUAUGACAUUAUAGUUUACUAUGUCAACACAUAUUCUAAGUCCAAUGCCACUUUAUGAUAUUAUAGUUUACUAUGUCAACACAUAUUCCAAGUCCAAUGCCACUUUAUGACAUUAUAUAAUCCCUAUGUUUAGCACAUGUCUAUUGUUCUCAAACAAGUAAAAGCUUGUCAUUUCAACACAUCUGACAUGAUUUCUAAUAUAUCAUGAAAAUGCCACACACUAGCACGUGUACUACAUACAUAUCUCACUACUACAUAGGGAGGAAAUGUCAUGAUACAUAACAUAUGCAUUUUAAUCAUUCUAAAAUUCAUUUAUGCUCCAUCUAGCAUGAAAAUGCAUGAAUUCCUAUUUUACAACAAGAAAUAGAACAUAGGGGGAGUUCACCUAUUUCGAUGAGGUCAAACCUAACAAGAACUCCUCGGAUCCCCUUCGUUUGCGCGAACGAAGUUCUCGACAAGUCACCUAGCUCCCUAGAGAAAAUUCUAAGAGGGUUAAACGAAAUAAACGAACACCCAUAGUAUUCAUCUUUAACCAACCUAAGAAAAGGGCAAAACUCAACUAAAAUGGUAGAAAAACCCUCCUAAAAUCCGAAUGGAAGCUAGAGCCCUCCAAAACCAACCUAAAAGAAGGUUAUAAACCAAUCAAUUGAGCUCCAAAAGCUACUAAUCAAAAAUUCCCAAAUAAACCCUAGGUUUCUCAUUUUUAGGGUUUUCACACAAAAACUGUCACGCCCCGAGGCCGCCAAUUUGGUCGGUUCGGGCACGCCGACAGACGCCAAACGGACAGCACCUCCCUGUCCGCCCAAGGCUCUAAUCAACAAGUAUAAUACAAGCAAUUCAACAAGAUGAAUGCAAUUAUACAAGGCUUGCUCGAGAGCAAGCAACAACUAAACCACAAGUGAAAGCAUCUAUGCUAUUACACUAAACCAUUCAACACAUGUCAUUUGAUUACAUUUGAAUCAAACACAAGUACUAUACAUUUACAUUCUUAUCCAUUCAUUUACAUCACAUUGGCAUUCAUCCAAAAUACAUAAUUUAUAUCUCUUUACAUAUCUUAGUUCAACAUACGAAAGUUGAAUAUACAUAGGAAAUGCCUAUAAGACUCCGAAGGCCGCUAUCUACGGCGCUAAUCCCUUGCCUCGAUCCUCCGCCGCCCCGCUCACGCAUGGAUCUGCAAGGUUAGUGGUGGUGUGAGAACUAAAAGAAGUUCCUAGUGGGUUCGGCCACUGACCACGCCGACUCGCCCACUAGGUCUAUUCAGGUAUAUAUAAUUCAAGAAAUGAUAGAUUGCAAACCAACUAAUGCAAAACUAUUACAAUGCCUGCAAGAAAGCUGUCAAUAGAUAGAUAAUCAAAUACAUGAUAACUAUGCAUGCAUGUUCUCGUUCUCAUUCUUUUUGGCCUUUACCGAAUUAUCCUGGGGUACCCAUGGUUCACUCCAAACUCACAAUCCACACAUCCCAUCUACCGGGGGAGGCACUUGGCACUACCACCCGAAGGAUCUUCGCCGGGGCACUCUUCCCGUGGUGUCUACACUCCGGAGUACACCGCUUGAGGAGGAGCUACCUCCCUCAAGCCGAAACCAAUCUGUGAGUACGAUCCAAUCCUCAAUUUGAGGAAGUAUAGCCAAACCUGUCUCAAUGCACAAAGCCUCAAUGCCGAUGAUAGGUUAUUACCAUAUCACAUUUCCACUAUAUCUGAGUCACAAUGGUCAUGAUGCCACUCUAGGUUAAACCUUGUUUAGCCGUUCUUAUACUCAGUGCCAAUCUCGUCACGAAUGUCAAUGUCACCAUUGUUUACUAUUGUCAUAGUCUCUUUUUCAUACAUUCACAUACACAUAGGGUUUUUCACAUUCAUAGUUCACAUGGUUCUAUAUCAAUUCAUAUGUUUUCUAGCAUACAAUUGAAUCUCAACCAAUCAUAUUCGUCACACUACCCUAUAUACAUGAAUGCUAACUUCAAUAUGCUCAAUAAUGGUAACAUAGACAUAGAAGGAAAUUCGGUGUUUCCGGAUAGCACCCCCCACCUUGUAGGUAUGCUAGGAUGCCGCAAUCUGAUUUCUAUGAUUUUUAGACGCCUACGCUGUAAGCUGCGAUGAUCUGUACCAAUUUAGCCUCUUUCCUCAAUAUCUCCGCGCACGCUCGUCGUUUUGCCGAACCGAGCGCACCAACGCGUUUGUUGACCUACCAAUUAGGUUAAAAAGAGAUCAAUCCCAAGAUUGAAUCUCAAAAUCUCAAAACUCUAACAUUAGGUCCCUUAACAAUAUCAUCUUCCCUACAACUAGUCCCUAGCAUGAAGAAAUAUAGGGGAAAUCCUCUAUUCAUCUCCUAGAAGCUCAUACUAGAAGGAAAUACCAAAACCUAGCUUAGAAACCAUGGAAUCUCACCUUUGGUUCAAGCUCUUGCUCUAAUCCUUGCACAAUAGCAAGCAACACUCUUGUCUUAGUCUUCUUCUCCACCUAGAUCCCUCCGAAAAGCCUCCUCGGUCCAAGCUCUAGAGAGAGGGAAGGGAGAAGAGAGGGUUUUUUAGAGAGAGAGAGGGAAGGGAGAAGAGAGGGUUUUUUAGAGAGAGAGAGGGAAGGGUGUUGGUGGUUGGAAGGGUUAAAUGAACCCUAACCCAAAGCCCCAAGCCAUUUAACCAUUCAUCAUGCCAUUUUGCACAUAAGCCCAUCUCAUUUCACCAUUUACAAUCAGCCCUCAUUGGGCAUUUUUCGCAUGCGGGGACCGGUCCUCGGCCUGAGGGACCGGACCUCAAGAGCACAACUUUCGCUGCCUGCCCGAGCUGGGCAAAAUUCGCUUACGGGGACCGAUCUCUCUCCGCAGGGAUCGGUACCCGUAGGCCCAUUUUCUAGGACUUAGCCGAUUUUUUCAUUUUCUCUGCCUGGCUAUGCAUACAGGGACCGAUCUGUCCCUGGGGACCGGACCCCGAGAGUCCAAAUUCUGGGACUUAGCUAGAUUUCUCCUCUUUUGCUCUCUUGGGUCCAUAUACCUUGUACCAAGGUUCCAAUGCACUUAGAACCCAUUCCAACUCAUCCGACUCUGCGCUCCGCUCGUUUCGACGGAACUCGGCACGAUUCACGGGGAUGCGAUAUGUUACAAAAACCACAAGAAACAUGAUCCAAUGGAGAGAAACAUGUUACUAACCUCUUUAGAAGCUUCAAUCUAAACUUGGAAUGAGCUAGGAUUGAAGAUCUCUCCUCCAACAAGUUCCAAUCCAAGCUCCAAGACUUCUCUCAUGGUGGAAAAUACCACCAAGAAGCAAAAAGAAGCAAAAGAUGUGAUUAAUUUUCAAAAAUCCCAACAAAAAUGAAAGGAAAUGAAAGAGGGGAAGAGUAGAACUUCCCUACCUUAUUCUCCUAUGUUUCCAAGCUCAGGAAACCAGCAAGGGGCGUGGGGUGCUUUAUAGUGUUGCUGCAAUAACAAAAACACCCUCAAAAACUGCAGUCUGCGAAAUUACACUGCGUACCAGUGACAUUGGGAAAGAGUAACGGUACCAGGCUACAGUAAGCGCAAACUCGAGCCUCUGCCAGGCAGAAAAACACACUGGGUAUUGGUUACUAGCCCGAUGUUCUACCGGUACCAGGUCCAGUACCGGUACAGGCCCGAUGCAGUACCGGUACUCUGCCCUGCAGAGUCAACCCGAGAGCAGCCCAAAUUCCUCAUUUCGGAGAUUUUGGCGCUAAGUUUUCACCCUCACUCCUCGGGAUGCGAGUCAUAGGUAUGAACACUGUCUACGACUUUCCAGGAUACCUGAAAAAACUCAAAACACAGAUCAAACACUCGAACCUCACAAUUUGCAAAGGUCCAGUGUGUUACAUGACCCCCAGGGUAUGCGAGAUCCGUCACAAAUACAGGAAGUUCACUGUUCACACGAAUAGAGUCUUCCCUGUAUUUGCACGGCGUUGCACAAGUACAAGAUAUACAAUUCAAGAUACAAUUACCACAUAUGAAUAUCCACACAUCCAUACACCAUUUACAUUCACAUUCAAUUCAUCACAAUUAUCCAUAAAUCUACAACUACCAGUUUAAAAUGUUUCCUACCCGGAAACUCGUUUUAAAAUACUAAGUCAUGAAAACCAAGAAAACCUUUUAAAACCGUUUCCUACACGGAAACCUUUUUCUUUUAAAACACGAUACCACGAGAGGUAAAAAAUCACUUUCAUUUUUAUAAGAAUUAUAAAUCCUUUAUUUCUUUUAUAAAAGCCAGAUGAAUCCAAAUGUAAUAAUCACUGAACCAUAAUUACUGUCUAAGUCAUUUAUUUAAAAGAAAUUGAGUUUAAGAAUUUAAACCGAAGAGACGGGUCCGAAAGCUCUAUCGAAUCGCUAAGUGCGCUACUCACGAACCGUCCCACUAUUACCCGCGACGUCACCUGUAAUGGGGGUGAGGGGUGAGAACAUGUACACAUGUUUCCUCUCCCAGUGGGUACCACAAGCCGACGAAGGCGAAGGGUACUCACCAGUCAAGGAGGAUAAACAACGAUAUGGGUAAGGGUAAUACAGUAGCAAUGAUAAAUAAAGGAACAAGAUGUAUAAAUGAAUAACUACCGCUACUGUAUAUAUGCAUCAACAGGACGAUAAGUCUAAAAAUACCCAAUCUGAAACCUGUGCUUUGUUGGUCAGCACUGCAGACCUCAAGCUAUGCCCUGUUGGUCCACACCACAGACCACAAGCCUGUGCCGCUAUCACUCUACCUGCAUAUAACCCAAGGUAGCCAAUGGGCUCAUGGGUUGGCACCUCCAACCACUUUUUCGGAAAAGAACACCCUCUUGCGGUGGAUCAGACCGCUGGUGUUCGUGAAAUGCGUAUGAGUAUCGGGCGAUCAAUGCUGAUUUGCUCAAUAGUCAACCGUCGGCAACCAGUCAACAAUCCUACCCCUCAGGGUAUACCGACCGUAUAGGUCAUCAAAUAGUCCAACCGACCAAGUAGGUCUCGAUAACAAUACAGUAAGCCGACCGAAUAGGUCACAGAUACGAGAUACAAGAACCGACCAACUAGGUCACAAUACCAGAUGCAAUGCACUAACCGACUAGGUCAUCAAUCUCACAAAUAAUCACAAAACCGCUCUGCUUCUAAAACAUAAUACUGGGUAUGCAACCAACUAAGUAAAGCAAUAAAGAGAUAUGGUAUAGGUGCUAGGCUCAACAUAUAAUAUGUAAGAUAAACAAUAAGGAAAGAGUGAAGGGAAUGUCACCGAGCGUGCACCACUGUACCGACUUCGAGUCGAAGUACCUACCUGUAUGUAUACGGUACUGGCCUUCCGACUGUAGAGGAAGUAUCAACCGGACCUACGAAGGGUCCACCGGGUUAGCAUCUAACCCACAAAAAUGAACCACUAACUCACAACCCCCACAAGUAAACCCACGGGAAUUGGUUUUCCAAACCGAUGGUCGUAACAAGCCGGAAGUCCCGAAAAUCGCACCGGGACUCCGCCGGGACCCACGAACUGUCCCGAAACUCAUCGACUCGUGCUACGAGUCACCCGCUGCCACUAAAUAUAAUUAUACGUUCGACUUGGCAGCAAACACACCGCCUCACAUCGAAACGAUUAUCGUCGGAUAAUCAUUCCGAUCAGGGUUUCCGGAAGUGUCCAAUUCGACAUCGGAACCUGCCGUCGCUCACCUGUCAUUUUCGAACCCUCUAAACAAUGCGGUUGACUAGCCAACAAGGCUCAGCGACAACAUAAUCUACCGUGAGGCACCGUCGGAAGAAAUCCAAACCGAAAACGCGUUCCGUCGGUGGAUUUUGGCGAAAAAUGCACUGGAAAUCAACAUUCGAUUUCCGAAAAAGCUUAGGGCCUUGGACAACUAGUCCAGAGGUCACCUGAUGCCCGCACACGCUGCCAACAGCAACCAUGAAACAUACAAUUGCAUAAAAACCCUCGCGACUACAUAAGAUCACAUCAUUUUAUGUGAUUUUCCAGGUUUUAUGGCCUGACAACGCAAACCAAGGAUUUUCUAGCUUGUCUGAGACACCCGCUGACAGGUCUCAAUGUAUCGGAGGCCGUGCUCACAAUUCGGAGCAUGGCCGUCCACUGUGGAGGGCGCGGGUGCGACACAGAAUUCAGCGAAUACCGCGCACAGUAUGAAAAACAUGCUUAUCUCGCAAACCAGGGGCUCGCGGAUCCCAACGAAGGCGAUCACGAUGAUCAGCACUGAUCCAAGAUCAUCGUGCUCACCUUCGGAAGCCUCGGGGUGGCCUCGGGUCACCGAAACAACGACCCGAACCCGAGACAGUGCGUAGAAACUAUAACUUAAGCUUACCGGAGCUAGGUGGAGCAUGGGUGACCGACGGAGGCCAGAUGACGGCCGCGCCGGCAGGGGAUGGGUGCAGCCAGUUAGUAGGGCCCAGGGCUCGCGUCGACAGGCGACGGGAGGCGGCGUCGACGGCUGGCAACGAUGCCCUAGCCGCGCGGUUGAUACAGAACCUGGCUCCAGCCCGGCCGGCAGGGGCCUCCGGUGGCGGUAGCGCCGGCGGUAUUCGGGUCCGGCCGACCAGGGGGAGCCUGUGCUCUCGCUGGCCGGCGGCGGGAGGCGGCGGUGACGGCGUGGGAAGAAUUUGAGCUCGCACGGCCCCAACUCGGGCUCAUGCGUUUAUGGUGGCCACGGCGGCGGUCGGGGAGCUCAGGGGCGACGGCAACGGGGUGCCAGGGGCCGAAGGGAAGCGGUGUGACCAACCCUAUGCGGCGGCGGCGCGAGGAGAAAGAGAGGACCCAGCCCUGGCCCGAGCAUGUCUGGGGCGGCCGUAGGGAGCCAAGAGCGGUGGCGACAACCUGCCGGGACGGCGGCGACCGACGGGGAUGGUCACCAGGGCUGGGGCCUACUGUCAGAGGUGGAGCACGAGGGUGUCGGGCCUCCCUGGCAGCAGCACAGGUAGAGAUGAGGGGAUGUGGUGCUGGAAACAAUAGAGAAGAGGGAGUAGGGCUGCUUUUCGGCGGUUGGCGGCAAGUGCAGGCGACCGGGGCGCACACAGCUGAGGCAAGGGAAAGAGGGGAAGGUGGCUGGGGCUCAGAAGAUGAAUAAAAGGCUAGAGUUAGCGUUUUCCAUAGAUGAAACCCUAGGUGCAACUUUUAUACAAAAGACCACUUUGCACUGAAGUCCUCCGAAACUAACUAUUUGCAACCUAGUCCUUCACAGCGCGAGUAAAUCGCGUGUACGCACCUCCACGUCCGAUCUCACGCGAUUCGGUACAUAAAAUAUAGGGGGUUUCGCGCGAGAUACAAAAAUACCAUUUUGACCUCUCCUCGAUAAUCACAUGAUAUCCGGCGAUCCGUCCAUCGGAUUUGCGAACGGAUCGCACUAAUGCGAUCAGCACGAUAGGGGCAUCAAGCUCACAAUUUUGUUUCGUCUGGUUUGGUCGCAGAUUUGCGACGAAAUCCAUCCUCUCACCAAUAGGCAAAUCCUACACACAAAUACAUAGAAAAUAUGUAUCUCCAGUUUCCUCGAAAACCGUGUGUCAGAUCUGAAAUCCAUCAGUGCCAAUGGUUCUAGAAUAGUUAGACCAUUAAAAACGAGCUAUUGGAUCACUAUGAAUGGAGUCCAAUACACACCAGAAGCCAUCUUCACUGAUUGGCCUCUUCGAAAAAUCGGAGUUACUAUUCACUUUAAGUGAUUAGUACAGGUCGCGUAACUUCUCUGUCACGCCCUGAGCUCCGCCAAUUUGGUCGGAUUCGAGCACGCGACAGACGCCGAACGGACAGAGCCUCCCCUGUCCGCCCAAGGCUCCAACAUUAAGUAUAUUACAAGCAAGUCAAACAAGAAUUGCGGAAUAUACAAGGUUUGCACGGGAGCAAACAACAACUACAGUGAAAGCAUCGAAACUAACUAAACAUCCAAUAUACAUGUCAUUUGAUUUCAUUUGAAUCAAACACAAGUAGUCUAUUACAUUCAUUUACAUUCAUUUACAUCACAAUUUUCUUUAACAAAAGGCAAAUUACAUCAUCUUUAUAUUACAUCAUUUUCAGCUUACUGUUUCAACAUACAAAAGUUGAGUACACCGAGUGUAGGGUAUGCCUAUACAAUUCCGAGGCCGCUAUCUACGGCGCGACUCCCUUGCCUCGAUCCUCCGCCGCCUCGCUCGCGUAUGGAUCUGCAGGGUUAGUGGUAAUGAGAACUAGAAGACGUUCCCAGUAGGUUCGGCCGCCGACCACGCCGAUUCGCCCACUAGGUCUAAUUCAGGAUAUGUAUUUCAAUAAAGAAGAAUAACAAACCAACUAAUGCACUUCUAAUACAAUGCCUGCACGAAAGCAAUCACAGAUAGAUAUUCAUAUUCAAAUACAUGAUAAUUAUGCAUGCAUGUCCUUUUCACUUUCCUUUGGCCUUUACCCAAUCAACCUGGGGUGUUCCUGGUUUACGCCAACUCACAGUCCACAUAUCCCGUCUAACGGGGGAGGCACAAGGCACAACCACCCGAAGGAUCUUUGCCGGGCACGUCCACCCGUGGUGCAUUUCUUCUCCGGAGUACACCGCUCGUGGAGGAGCGACCUCACACAAGCCGGAACCAAUACCUGUGAGUAUGAUCCCAUCCUCAAUUUGAGGAGGUAUGGCCAAUCUGUCACAAUUCUCACUGUCUUAAUGCCGAUGAAUGGUUAAUACCUAUUCAUGCACAUACUGUCACUUGCCAACGUCACGGUGGUCCUGAUGCCACAGUACACAUAAUGUCACUUGGGUUAAACCUCGUUUAACUAUUCACUUAUCGAUGUCAAUCGAGUCGUUUAAUGUCCAUGUCACCUUUGUUUACUACGGUCACAGUCAUUUCUUACAUUCACAUGCAUAUAGGGUCUUUCACUUUCCCUUUUCACAUGGUUCUAUAUCACUACAAUGAUCUUAAGCAGAUAAUUGUUACGACCAACACAUGCUGUUCAUUACCCUACAUGCAAGAAUGCUAUAAUACCAAUAAGCUCAAAUGAAAGGACAUAGACAUAGAAAGAGAUCCGGUGUUUCCGGAUAGCACCCCCCACCUUUAUGUGUCACAAGGAUGCCACGGUUCCGAUUCCACGAUUUUUAGACUUGUUCGUCGUGAGCUACGACGAUCUGUACUACUUCAGCUUGUUUUCUUAAUAUCUUCGCGCACGCUCGUCGUAUCGCCGAACCGUGCGCACUGAUGCGUUCGUAGACCUACCAAUUAGGUUAAAAUGAGAUCAAAUCCAAGUUUGAACCUCAAAAUUACAAAACCCUAAAUAUAGGUUCUCCACGAUGUCAUCUUCUCCAAUCAAGCCCCUAGCUUGACAAAACAUGGAGGAAAAUACUCUAAUCCAUCUCCUAGAAGCAUAUUAGAAGGAAAAAUCCAAACCCUAGCUCAAAACCCAUGAGAACUCACCUUGGGAGUUCAAAACCUUCCUUCAAAGCCUUGACCAAGCUUGCUCUUCACCUUGGAGAGCUUCUUCUCCAAGCUUGCUUCUCCAAAUCCCUUCUUGGUCCAAGCCCUAGAGAGAGAGGGAGAGAGAAGAGAAGGAUUUUUAGAAAGAGAGAAGGAAGGUUUGAGAGUGAGAGUGAGAACAAAUGAGUUCUCACUCAUGCCCUAGCCCAUAUAACCCCUCUCAUGCCAUAUUUGCAUUUAAACCCCUCAACUUUUCACUUUUGCAACUAGCCCUUACUGGACAUUUUCGAGCUCGGGGACCGGUCUCUCCCCUUCAGGGAUCGGUUCCCGAGAGCUACUCUACAACCUGUGCAGAAGGGGACCGGUCUCCCCCAGAUGAAACCGGUCUCCGGGGACCGGUCUCCCGCCGAAGGACCGGUUCCCGAGAGCUCGAUUUCCAGGACUUAGUCGAUUUUUCCCCUCUGCUCGGCUGAUCAACGUUCGGGAACCGGUCUCUCACCCAAGGGACCGGUCCCCGAGAGCAAAAUUUCUAGGAUUUCUCCAGAAUUGCAGUUUCACUCUCUCGGGUCCCUUAAUACUUCAUAUAUAGGCUCCAAUGAACUUUUAGCCUAUAGUAACUCAUUCCUUUCCGCGUUCCGCUCAUUUCAACGGAACUCGGCACGACUUACCGUGAUAUAUUACAUUCUCCAUCCUAACUCAUUUUCUCCUGAAACUUGACGAGUGUUUAUGUAAUUAAAUUACACACAAAAACAUCAUCAACACAGAGUUUAGUUACACAGUUAAAUUUUCAGUCCUCACAGAUUAUUCAUGCUCUAUACUACCAUAGAAGAAGAGCUUUGAAGGACGGAAGAUCCUUUAGGCCUCUUUCCCACUGGUGGAAAGGAGUUCUAAGUCUUACUGAAAUCUUCAAAUGAGGAAUAUACUAUAAACUAGGGAACGGGUGUACGAUCGAUUUUUGGUCGGAUCGUUGGAGUGGGGAGAGCUCUUUGCAGCUGAAUUUCCCGGAGGUGUACGAUGCAAGACCCUUAAAGUCAAGGAUUGUUUUGUUAGUUAUAUGCCCUAUAAGCCAAUCUUGUCAUAACUUAAAGGGUUAAUAUCAGUGUACUUUUCUUUUAUAAUUAAACCUGGCAUUCUUCAUUCAUAUUAUUGCCCAAUGCAUAUUUAUGAAUCGUCCAUAGAAGUAACAGUAGAAGAAUUAACUUUCUAAGAAGUUAGAAAUUUGAGACAUAUAUUCUUCUGUAAUUAAUUCUUAAAUGCUCCUGAUCAUAGGAUUAUUACGAGGGCGGUGGUAAAUCCGGAUAGAUUAGUGUAUGCUGUACUUCCUUUAUGGGAUGACGAGUCUCAAGUCAUUAGUGUGGUGACACUAGAGUAAGCAUACAGGUGAAUGUUGGAGAACAAUUUCACUGAGCGUGACCAACUAUGAACAAUCACAUGGAUGUCUACUUACUCGUUAGUGAAUUGUUCCAUAUUGUAGUAGUGUGAGUGAUCCUUUGACUUAAGGCACCACGGUUAUCUUGCGUGUGGGUUAUUGUAGUUUGACUGUGUAAAUACUUAUACCCUAAUCAUGGGUUAAGUCAACAGAUGUUGGCUGCAGUGGGUCAUACGUGGAGGUAGGUGUGUGUCAAGAUAGAAUCUAUCAUCCUCGGUAGAGAGGUAAUUGUCCUAUACUAUCUGUUUUACAAGAUAUAAAAGUCCUUGGCCAAGGCAGUAUGAUUUUAUGGAAAAGAGUUUCCAUAUUGUUAAUCAGAUGAGACAUAUGAUUGAGUAAUGGGGUUUGACGAGUAAUCCAUAACCUCGGCUCAUUCGGGACAAGUGAUAGAAGGAUUUUAUCACACGGUAACUACACCUAGAGGUUCUGUCUAUUGUUAAUUCUAUUUGGAUUGCCGCGAUAUACUGCUAGGUGUCACUCGUGGAUUGUGGGACCCAUGAGAGUAAUUAAGAUAGUUAAUUACACUCAGUUGGGAGAGCCAAAAAUAUUUUGGUCCAUCGAGAAGAGUUCCGAUGGUGACACUAAAAGAGUUUAGUGUCACAUUUCACUACCAGAUAGAAUUGAACCUAUGUGGUCACACACAAUAAAGGCUGCGUGUGAACUAGUGCUUGGAGAAUUAAUAGAGAUCAUUUUGCUAAAGUAGCAAAGUAAGAAUUGACUUGCUAAAUUGAUUAGCAAGAAGGACCAAUUUGUAAAAUUGAAAGUUGUAGAGUUAAACGCAAUUGUUGCAUACGGUGCACUUGCACUGAGAUUAUUAUCAUCUUUCUCUCAUCAACUCCUCAAUUAAUAAAGAUUAAUUGAGGAGUUAUGAAGUGAAAGGAGAAGAGAAUGAAAGAAACUCUGACAUUUAUUAGUGGAAGAGAAAACUUCCAUUUCACUUCAUUCUUGGCGCACUAAACGAGAGAAGACGAGUUAACUCUCCUCUCAUUUAUGACACCUCUCUCCAUAUUAUUUCUAUUGGGGAAAGAAAGAGUAAAAUGCUUUAUUAAACGAGCAGAGGGAGAAACGCAUUAUUUGUUGCGCAGAGAACAUUUCUCCGCCUCUUCCGUUUAUCUCCACAUGUAUAUUGCCUCACCUAUAAAUUGAGGCAUCUCUCUUUACCAUGAUAAUAAUCACAACGCAAAAGCGAAGAGCAAGAGAAAGAGAGAAAACUCUCCCAAUCAUAUAAAGCUCUCUUUUAAUCAUAAGAGAGAGGUCCUCCAAAAUAAUUAGUCUCUAUAGUUAAUCCUCUUGAAAUUGCUAGCACAAUUUGAGGAUUAAUUUUUCUCCACAUUGACACAAGAAAUCACGAAAGGAGUUUCGAGAUUACACUGUGAUUGUGUGAAGCACAGAUCCCGGAGCAGCCUUGUGUGGUUACACGUAGAGGCCGAACAUUUGUGCGGCUCAAAAGACUAGAAGUUCAGAUCCACAUCAACCAUGAAAUAAUUUCGGUAAUUUGCACAGGUUGAAAUUCGAACCCUUCUUCUAAUUAGGUUAGAAUAAUAAUUUUUGUGUGUCAUACGAGAUGAUCUUGGUACAUAUAUAUAUACUAAUAUCAUAAAUGUUAUGAUAUUAAAGAAUACAUGAUUUGAUCAUAUUUUAUAAAUGAAAAAAAAAAAAUUUAUUUCCGCUGCAUUAAAUGCACAUGUAGAUGCAUACAUUUCCUUACAUGUUUGACAAGUAACGACUGAAACUGGAGCAAGAUUCUAGGAGGCGAUUCGGUUAAUAGGCAGGGUUUGUGUUCUAGCUUUUUUGCAGUUAAAGAUCAGAUCUCUAUUUUCAAAGAAGGGCAGAGCCUAGACAAGAUUCUUUGGCGUUGGAACCCCGGUGGGCUUUUCACGGUAAAGUCGGCUCACUCUACACUGAGCGAUGGGGGUACGAGGGAUGCCCGAGCAAACAAGUUAUGAAGACUUCGAAUACCCCUAAAAGUGAAAGUGUUCUGCUGGCUCGUCCUAAAGAAGAGGCUCCUCACGGUGGAUAGCCUACUAAAUAGAGGUUGAGUGUGCUGUGCAGGACUGAAGUGGAAACCGUUCAUGAUCACUUGUUCACUACAUGCGUAUUUGCUAAAUUCAUAUUAGUGAUGGUCGUGGAGGAUGUUCAAUCUACGGAAUUGGGAGUUGACGUUAAUUCGGUCUGGGAUAGGUGGACGGGUAGGAAAGGUUCGCAACCUUUGUGUAAUUGGCUCCCGGAACUAGCAGCCUGUUGGUGGGUCAUCUGGGAGAGCAAAAACGAUACGAUCUUUAGAACGAUCCAGCUAGACCGCCUGAUAGCAGUUCACAAGGUUAAACAACUGUCAAAUUGUUGGGAACAACUACUUUCGGCUAAUCAGCACUUUUGUAAGUUGUAGUUUUUUUUUUUUCACCCAGCUAGAGGCCCUGGUUGCCUUACCCCGGUAGCCUAAUUCAUCUUUUCAAUGAAUGAAGCGGAUAGCACGCUACCUUUUUCUCAAAAAAAAAAAAAAAAUUGGGCGUUUUUAAUAAAAAAAAUUAUUAAUUGAGUAUUUCUUCUAAAUUAGAUCAUCUUUUCUUGAUUUUACAGAUUCGGGUCGAAUUUUUUAAAAAUUGACCAAAAUACAUAUAUUCUCUAUCUACUGGAUCCCUUUCUUUCUCUUUUCGCUUCUUCUGCUUCCUCCACUGCUCCCACGUCACUGCCACGCUCCACCCCAUACCUCGCCCACAUCUUUGCUGCCGCCAACAACGGCAGCGUGGACUGGAAUGCAACAUAGAUCAUGGAAGUGAGGGUAUGGGUAGUGGUUUAGUUUGUGGCGACGGAGCGCAGCAGGAUGCUAGAGCUGGAGAAGGAGGUAAGGAGAGAAAGGAGGAGAAGGAAGAGAAAGAAGAUGCCAAUAUCCUCCUCCUCCAUCCAAAGAUGACGUGAUGGUGUGAGAAAAGGGCGUAACUCAAUAGAUAUUGUCCUUUUCAUUUUGGUAGUCGACAUAAAUGUAUCAUUUUGGAUAUUGUAAAGAAAAAGAAAAAAAAAAUUGCUUAUUCUGGGUUUUAGUUAGAAACAUGUAAUGUAAGUAAUAAGAUAAAUGAUGUAAUAGAAAGUUUUUAAUUUAUGUCAUUAAUAUUCUCCUUAAUUGUGCAAACCAUAUAUAUUAUUUUUGAUUGGAAUGUGUUGUAUAUAUAGUUUGUGACGUCUUGGACUGACAAAAAAACUUUAUCUAUUUGGUGGGUCUGUGCAUGAGCCUAGUGAUGCUUCCGUUGUGGGCUCAGGGUAUGACACCAAGAGAUAGAGCUACAAGGUCUGUUCAGGAGUGUACAAAAGAUCUGUCAAAUGGAUAUAGUUUUUCUAUCUGCACUAAGCAGUCGCAUAACCUAACCCAUACAUCACAUACUAGUAUAGGCAAUAAGAAGCAUCAAAGUUGAUUACAAGUACUUUAAACUGUGACAAUUAAUAUCCAAACUCUUUCAUACAUGACCAUUUUCUUUUCUAAAAUAAGUUACAUUUGUCGACUCUCAAAAUAGUAUUAAUACUUAUCUCACUCUUUAGUUCUUAAAAAUAGUACUCUUUUAGACUGACUUGGGAAUGAUCUAUCUAGCUCGUGACACCAUUUAUUUCUAAUUAACUUCCAACAAUAUUUUAUUUUGGUCCUUAAAUUUUUAAUUUUAGAAUUACAAACUCAAACUCUUAAAAGAGUUUCAAUUUAGUUUCCAUGCAUAUUUUGUAUUGAGGGUAAUUAUUUACCUACACCCCGUUCACCCGUAUAUUUAUAUGUUAUGCAUCUACUAAUACUUGAUCACAUAAUAUAUUUCCAUUCUACAAUCCAUUGGAUCUUUAUUUAAAAAUUAGACCGAUAAGUUGAAAGUUUUAGUUAGAUAAAGAAUUGACAAAAUUUGUGGUGUACAAAUAUAAAAUGAACUAUGUGCAAGUAAUAAUUUUUAUUUCAAGGUGAGGACUAAAACGAAAUAUUUUUGUAAGUUUAGGGACUAAAAUAAAAUAUUUGAAGUUCAAUUGUAGUUGUUGAAUUUGAAAGUUUGAGGACCAAAAUGAAACUUGAGUGAAAGUUCGGAGACAAAUAGAGCAAUUUUUUUUCUUCUUUCUCUCUCAAGGGUUUAUAGCUAUUAGAUUUGCUAUAUUUGAGGGAAAACUUCAAAAACCCCCCCCUGUGGUUUCGUGCAUUCUCACUUUGCUACCCUGUGGUUUAAAACGUAUCAAUUUGCCCCCCUGUGGUUUCGUUUUUAUCUUUUUGUUAUCAAUUUUAUUAUUAUUAUUUUUUAAAAUCAGUGACAAAGUUAAAAUUAAAGGAUACUAAAGUGACUAUUCGAUAAAUAUAGAUGGUUAUCUGAAGUUUUUUGUAUAUAAUUUAACGAAAUAUUAAUGAAAAAGCUUCCGAAAAGAUAAAAAUGAAACCACAGGGGGGUAAAUUGAUACGUUUUAAACCACAGGGUAGCAAAGUGAGAAUGCACGAAACCACAGGGGGGGUUUUUGAAGUUUUCCCUAAUAAGAAAAAUGGACAAUUGCUUAUAUAUCUCUGAGAACUUUCAUACUUUCUUAUUUAUCAUGCUUAGAAAGCUAAUAUAAAUUAUACCUUUUGAACGUUUCAAGGUCUUUCAAAUAUAUCCCUAAAGUUAGAUUCUAUUAGUAAACUGUUAUGAACAGCUAUUAUCUCUAUAAAAUUAUUAUUUUGUCAUUUCAAAUAUACUCUUCUAUCAUCAUCAACUUUUUUAAUUAACCCUACCAUUAGCGGCAAAAGAGGUACUUUAUUUUUCGACCUUUCAAAUAUACUCUUCUGCCAUCACCAAUAACCUAUUUGUAAUAUAUUGAAACCUCGAGAACGAUUAUCGAACUUUAGCCAAAUUGGUUAAAGUAUCGAGAGAAAUGGAUGGACAAGUUCUAUUUAGCAUUCCAAUAAGGUUGGAAGGGCUAAAAAUGAGUUUAAGAGGUGUUAGAAAGAUUUUAAUAUCGAUCGGCGCGAAAUAGAAUCGAAAACAGCUGCAAAACAAGCAUUCUAGGCAAAGUGUACUAGUACAACCAUCGAGUUGUCACCGGUAUAGCUCUGCAGCCCGAAAAGAGUAAGCUCUCGGGUUUGAGAAAAAAACUGAAAGUGUACCAGUUAUCACUUUGAAAGUGUACCGGUAUAAAUGCUACGAAACCGAGAACUUUGCUCUCGGGUUGCCUCUGCGCAGGAAAUGUACCGGUACAAAAUCCCGUGUACCGGUACACUUUGGGUCUGACAGCAAAGUGAUAACUGCUGCAAUUAUGGAAAUGGGGAGGGUUUAAAUGCAAUUGUAGCAUCCUAAUAAGACCCCAAUACCUCUUCUCUCUCCCUCCCACAGCCAUUCAACCCUCCCUCUCAUUUCUCUUAUUUUCUCUCUCUAGAGAGCUCUCCAAAAAGUGGAUUUGGAGGAGAUUUGAAUGAGAAGUUUGGUUUUGGUGGCUUGGAGAAGAUCCAGGGCUCUCCUACAAGGUGGACCUUGGAGAGCUUUGGGUCAAGGUGAGGUUUUAUGAAAACCUAGGUUAGGGUUUGGGUUUAUGUCCUAGAAAACAUAGUUAGUUAAUUCGGAAUCGGCAAAAAUUCGGUACGGGUAUAAUUCGGAUAAAAUUUGUUUUUUAACUUUUAAAUUCUUUGAAAAAUACGGCUAAAAAACGGAUGUGGUAAUUAUUCGGAUACGUAAUUUAUACGGAUAUUAUACGUUUACCAAUUAAAAAUUCGGAAUCAAAAAUUCGGCUAUAUAAUAAAUAUAUAAUAAUUAAUAUGCUAUAUAUAUUAUUUUUAUGCUUUUUUAUAUAAAUUAAAUAUAUUCAAAAUUAUAAUAAAUAAAUAUAUAUUAAUAAUAUAUAAAAAUUAUGUAUUUAGAAAUAUUAAAUUGUAGUAAGAGUUAUAUGUAAUUAUUAUAAAGUAAAAAACCUGAAAAUACGAUGGUCAAAUAUGUUAUAUAAAAAUCAGAAUAUAUAAUCUUAAACAAAAAUUAUAUAUAUAAUAAAUAAAUUAUAUAUAUAAUACAUAUAUUAUUAUAUAUAUAUAUAUAUAUAUAUCUAGAUAAUAUAUAUAUAUAUAAUAAUAUAUAUAUAUGAGUCCAGCUAUGGUGCUUGUAAAAGCACCAAGCACUUGGUGCUUGUAAGUUUUUACCGUUAGAUCUACUCCUCGGAUUUAUUUCAACAAUUAGAUUAUACUAUUUAACCAACCACCUACUCAAUCCUAGGGGGCCCACAUCACCUAACCGCAUAUCUCUUAAUCCAAUGGCAAAAAUCUACAACACUAAUAACUUGAUACUUUUAAAAGUAUAGAGCUCAAUUCUAUAUAUAUAUAUAUAUAUAUAUAUAAUGAUUAAUGAGAGGGAGGUCCACGGUGGACCAGAGGGAGGUCGUGGACCUCCCUCUGGUCCACGAGGCCACAGGACCGCGCACAAGUAUGCUCAAAAGCCCCGAUUUUUUUUACUGUUUCUCUUCCUCUUUUUUCUGCGGACGGCGCGAGAGGGCAUCUCUCGUCGCGGCGGCUCUUGCUCCCAGUGCCGGCAAGGACAGCGGAGGAGGAGGAGGACAACCCGGACGGGUUCGGCGACGAGAGCAACGACGACAUGACCCUCGGCCGCUAAUCUGUGUCGACGAGCGCGGCGACGACGCGAGGGGCGAGCCUCGACCACGAAUCCGCGACCGUGAGUGCCUUUUUUUAGUCGAAUCAUUCGCGAAUCGCGGAUAAUUCGCGAACAAGUUUUUUUGAGAAAGAUUUGGCGUUUUUUUCCGAACUUUUCAGAAAAAUACGGAACGGGCCGUUUAAUACGUAAUUUUUAAAAUUCGCGUAUCAUUCGCGUUUUAAUCGCGAAUUAACUAACUAAGCUAGAAAACUAGGUUUUGAUCUUCUAAUGAGUAUAGAAAUCUAGUUGAAGCUAUAGAACACAUGAAACCCUAGUUUCUUCAAGUGCUCUAAUGGUGGAUUUUUAGGGUUUGCAUUCUAAACCCUAGAAAUGAUUUAGAUAGUUCUAAAUGAGCUUCUAGAUGUUGGACAAGCUCUCUAUUGCUUGUUUUAGAGAUCAAAACCUAGGAUUGAGCAAAUGGCAUUGUUAGGGCAUAGAUUUUGGGGCUUUUGCCUCCGGUUGUUUUCGAGAUAAAUUGACCUCUUGGAAAUCUAAUUAGGGGUAUUCCUGACGCGUGGGACAACUCCGUUUGACGUUACAAAAAGGUCUAAAUAAAGUUAUUGAGAAAAAGCCUAAUUUGGCUUCGUUUUGCCGCAGGCGAAAAAGUAGGGCUUCGAAAAUUUCAAGAAAUUCACCGUAGCACCCUUACAACCAUACAAGGUGGGUGGUGUAUACCGAAGAUCUCGGAAUUUCUUUUAUGUCUAAAGUGUCAUAUUUGAGCAUAUGUGUAUUGAGAAUAAAAAUUGCAUAGUACGGUUAUAUGUGAGUAUUUUAUUGCAUGUUGUGAGUACAAAUGCAUGUGAGUUAUUAGUAAGAAUGUGAGAAUUUUAUAAAUCCUAUUUAUGCAUGACAAGUGACAAGAACUUAGUGGACUUAGUAAACAAAGGUGAUAUCUUGACAUAGAGGUAGAAAGUGACAUCGAUGAGUCGAGAAUGCUAGAGUUGGAAUACUUAGAAAACAAGUGUGGCAUGUGUACAAGAACAUAGUAGUGUAUAUGACACUAGUGAAAGUAAAGAAUGCAAGUAAAAGUGUGAUAUUGACAUUAUUACAAUUUCAACCUUAGAGUUAAGGGUCAUAAGUGUAUUGUUUUCUUAUAGUUAAGGAAUAGAUUAAACUUGACAUCCUUAUAGUUAAGGAUUGGAUCAUACUCACCUGUAAGUCCUUGCUCGAGGGUGGUAGUUCCCCCUCGGGCGAUGUGCUCCGAAGUUGUCAUCACUGGGUGUAGUAGUCUCCCUAGAGGACGGUCCCGUCGGGUGUAGUAGUCUCCCGAUUUUUGGGAUUUGAGUUGGUGAGCCUAUUGUGGGCGAAACCUACGGAUUAGCCUAGAGAUUGGGUUCUGAGCAGUGACCUUGCAUUCAUCAUGAGUACUUUAUUGACAUAGCAUUAUUUAUUGUUCAGGCAUAUUAGCUGCAUUUGCUUUAACUUGGUUACUAUCUAUCUAUUCUUCUAUUAUACCUGAUUUAGACCUAGUGGGAAAGUCGGCAUGGUUGGUUGCCGAACCCACUGGGAACUUUGUUGUAGUUCUCACCCCACUAUUUCCACAGAGCCGGGACCGAGCGAGCCGGCGGACGACCGCGGUAAGCGCAUCACGCCCUAGAUAGAGACCUCCCGAGUGGGUUUCUAUUUUGUAGUUGCAUACCUUUAUACAUCACAUUUUUGUAUUUUGAUGACUAUAGAUGUUAAAGGAAAAGAACAUGAAUGAUGUAAAAGAUAUUUUAUAUUUAAAUACAAGAAUUUAUAUUUUGAGAUCAUGUGAUGUAAAAGAGAAGAAAUGAUGCAAAAAUAUAAUUGAUUUUCUAAGUGUAGUUUAUUACUUUUCCUAUUGGCUAUUGCUUGCCCUCGUGCAAGCCAUUGUGUAUGCUUCCAUUUUGUGCAAAAUUCAUACUCUAUUCAUACAGGAUGUUGAGCCUUGGGCAGACAGGAAAAACUUUGUCCGUUCGGCAUCUGUUCGAUGCGCUCGAACCGGACAAAAGGAUCGGGCUCGGGGCGUGACAUUAUUUCUCCUUAGUUAGAGACAAAAGGGGUUUUUUGACUUCUUUUUAACUUUGAUAGAAAUUUAAUCUGGGUUUAACCAGAGAUGAUUUAACGGGUACUAACAGCAGAAUUAUUUUUAAAUAAUGGAAAAAAAUACUAGAAGUAUAUUUGAAAAAAAAACAGGUGAGGUAUAUAACAAUAUUUCAGAAGUUUUGAGAGAUAUAUAAGAAAUUAUCCUAACGAAACUCAACCAAGAGAUUUCUAAGGAAUAAUGUGCUGACUAAAUUAGCUAUUAUUAAACUUUACAUUUAUGAAAUAAUUUACGCUUUAAAUUUCAAAGUGUAUACAAUCCUGUGUUAUAGUUUGAUUUUAGCUUACUAUCCUAUAAUCUUCAAUCAGUUUUAACUUUUCAUGCGAGCUUACUUUCAAGAAAACAUUUAUAUCUAUAUCUAUAUCUAUCUAUAUCUUUAUCUUUAUCUUUAUAUGAUUUUUCAAUAUCAGGCUGAUGUGGCAAGUCCUCCUUUUUUUUGGACUUUUCAAUUUUCUUUUUCUUUUUAUAAGCCGGCCUCUCUCUUUUCCCUUCUCCCACCGUACAUCCCUUCAUCUCCUCCUACCCUACCAUAUAUUUCCUUUAUCUUUUCCUUAUCUCACCGCACGUUCUUUCAUCUCCAACCCGCUCUAUUAAGAAAACCCCCAUCCCUCCAUCUCCCUCAUUCUCUCUUCCAGCAACUCACGUCCGCUCUCUUCUCCCAUGUUUUUAUAGAUUUCAAAUUAUUAUUAAUAAUUUUUAAAUACUAAUUUUUAUAAUUUUGAUUUGAUUUAAUAUAGAGAAAAAGUAGGUGAUGAUGAAUUGAAGAGCUAUGAAUCGAGUUCGCUUCGAAUGACAUUUUACAUUUUUAUGAAUUGAAAAAUAUUUUUUUCGUUCUCAAAAAUAAAAAUAUUUAUAUUUCUCUCCUAAUUUUAUUUUAUUUUAAUUGCUAAUUUUACUCUUAAAAUUUGGUUUUGAUGCAGAAAAGAAAAACCAAAGCCGGUUAUAAUUCGUCGAGUAAUAAAACCAACUCUAACAAAAUCACCUCUGAUUUUUUUUUUUCUUCUCUUUUAUUCUUGCAUUAAAUUAUAUUUUUUAACUCCUAUUUAUGCAACAAUUUUUAUUCGUUUAUAGUUUUUUCUUUUUGUUUUCUUUCUUUGUUCUCCAUUGAAUUAUAUUUUCAUUCUAAAAAAAUUUUCAAUAUAUUUUUUUAUUAUUAACCAAUCAAAUAUUGAUUAUUUUCUGCUAUAUUUUUAUAUUUUAUUUAUAUAUUUAAUUUAGAAUUUAUUAUAAUUUUUAUCCACUGCAUCGCCGGAUAAAAACACUAGUUGAUCACUAUGAAGAUGCCAUUGUCUAAGUGUCAAAUGGAGGUCAACUUCAAAACUCCCAGUGGUUUACUCCAAUUUGCAUUUUACCACUACUUUUGAUUGUAUAAUGCAACACUUUGCUAUUUUUCAAUGGCACAUCCUGUGACUAAACGGAGAGCAACAAGCAAGUUUAGUGCUGAAUUUUGAAAUUCUAAAUAAUGGGCGUACAAUCAACUUACGUACACUAUGGUUCGCGUGUUUCACCCACCGAAAAUUUAGGUUAAAAUGGACUUUUGAUUGAACUAGGAUUUAGAUAAAAAUUAUUUGUCCUGCUGUAAAAGAAAAGUCCCUUCAAUUCUGCUAUUUAUUUAGUAGGAAGUCAAUAACGUAAAAACUAUUUUUUUUUUUUACCAUUUAUAUUUAUUUUACUGAAAACUGGCGAAUCCUACAUCUUCGGUAAACUUAUCUUCGUAUACCUCUCUUUUCAUACAGCACGGUCGGCUCUUAUAUUACUUGAUAAAUAAUAAAAAAUAAUAUAAUUAUAUCCUAUAUAUUAUAAUUUAAAACAAUUGAAUUAAUUUUUUCAUACAUAAAUUUAUAACAAUGCAACAAUAAAACGCUGAAAAGAAAAAGAAUAUUAAUACUCAAUUAAUCAAUUUUUUUAUAAUUCAAAUAUGCAAACUAAAUAAAAGAAAAAUUAGUACAACAACUAAAUAUAUUUAUAUUUGAAUGAAAGAGGUGGUAAUCAUAUUACAAAAAUAAAUUUUCUUUUGCGAUAAUUUAUUACUUUUUUUCCUCACUUCUCUUUUUUGUAAUUGACUUCAGCCUAGGGUAAGACAGAGUCUAUUAUGUUAUUUUGAAAAACAUGAGUUAUGGCUGUAUUUAUAUUGCAGUGAAUUAAACAACAAAUUGAUCGUUUACGAUCCAGAACCCACUUUAUCCCUCUCUAUUUUGGACGAAACAAAUAGACUAGGAAAAUCUUUUCAACUCUUUUUUUUUUUCUGGGCAAAACUAACUACAGUUUAGUAGGAUGACUGAUUGGAAAGAAGUUAAAACUGUAGUUACUCAAGUGAAAUAGAUCAAAAUUUGGUGAUUUAAAUAAAAUUUUAACACAAGUUUUGGCCAAUUUUAUUAAAAAAAGAAAAAUGCGUUGGAUAUCUUCUAUAGGGCGGCCUCUAUUAUCAUUCAUGCUGCCACAUGAUAGAUUUUAUUUUUAAAAUUAAUGUGCGAGUACAAUUUAUUUAGUCCGAAGAAACGUCAAUUAGGGUAAGCAAAAGAGUAAAGCCGUCCUAGUGAAAAUUUAAAAUUAAAAUUUAAGGUAUCAAUUUCAAUAGAACGUAUAAAUGAAGGACUUAAUGUAUUUUCAUCCUAGUAAAAAUUCUAGUCGUACUGUUUUCUCUUUUUCUAUUUUUUUUAUUUUACUUUGUUUUUUAAACUCUAGCUGUUUACUGCUUAAAUCUUUCUUUUAAACGAAUUUUAUUUGACUAUGUGCAACUAAUCAGAACGCGAAUUUUCUAUAGCGAGAGGUUUAUGAUUUAUCCAUAAACUGUUUAAUAAAGUAUAUAAAAAAUAUAUGCAUACGGAUAUCCGUAUCCGAUUUAGAUCCGACCCGUACUCGAUUCAUACUCGGUCUUAAACGGAUAAUAUAUGAGCAGUCGCUAUUCAAAUCUGCUCAAAUAGAUCGAAUGAAUAUAUUAUUAACUUAAGUGUUCGGAUGCAGACUUAAUUUGAAAUUAAAUAGGUAGGGUAUAUAUAUUAUUUUUUAUUUAUGUUUUUAAAAUAUAAAUAUUGUAAAUCAACUAUUGAGGCUGGAUCGGGUCCACGGACCCAUUUACCAAAAAGCAUUCCCCUCAUGACUCAUGAGACUAGUAAAAAGGCACGGAAGAUGGCACGAAGGAUGCGUACAAAUAACCAACGCGUACGGACACCCUUUCUGUGUAUAUUCCCCGUUUCAGAGCAGCUGAUUACGAAACGCCCCUAUAAAAGCGAGGAAUAGGAUCUUCCCCAAGAUCCAAAACAUAGAGAGCAGAAGCUGCAAAGAAUAUUCCUCCCUUUUUCUCCUCCCAGUUCUGAUGAGACUGGAGAUGCAAAAACCACCACCACCACCUCCUCCUCCUCCUCCAUCUCACCAUCUGGAGGAGGAAGAGGAAGAGGAAGAGGAAGAGGAGGAAGAGAUGGUGGCAGAGGAGGAGAUGGAAAUGGCGUCUCCCGAAUUCGUCAGCUGUGACGGCGCCGCCGCCGGCGGAGGAGGAGGAGGAGGGGAGCAGCAGCUGUUUGUGCCGCCGCUCAACUUCGCGAUGGUCGACCACGGCGUCUUCCGCUCCGGCUUCCCCGGCGUCGACAACUUCGGCUUCCUUCACUCGCUCCGCCUCCGCUCUGUCCUGUCAGUAGACCACAAAAAAAAAAAAAUCUAAUCCAUGGCUGCUGCUCUCUUUAUAUAGAGGUUUAACUUUUGAUUUAUUUAUGUUUGUUUAUUUUUGGGGUGUAGGUGUCUCUGCCCGGAGCCUUACCCGGAGGCGAACAUGGAGUUCCUCCGGGCGAAUGGGAUCAGGUUGUUUCAGUUUGGGAUCGACGGAGCCAAGGUUGGAUUCAUGGUUUUCUCCUUCUCGCUCUCUUCUUAUAUGCGCAACUUUCGUUUCCGAAGCAUUUGCACAAAACGAAUUGUCGAAACAUCUGUUCUGUUUGGUUCCGCUUUCGCUUCCGCCUUUAGCAUCCGCGGACAAAUAGAAGGGUCUGCCGAAAAGAAAUGAGAUUCAAUUUUGGUGCUUUUGAUUCCGCUGCUGCAGAAAGAAAUUAUUAGAGGGCAUUUUAGAAGAAACAUAAUACUAGAAACCAACUUUAACAAAUUCUCUUCCAAAUUGGAUCCAUUUCUUCUGGACCUCAGAAUCUUAGUCAGUUUUUCUACGUCCCAAGCGUUCCGCCGGAGGUAGCUGUUGCUGAAAGUAGAAGCAGAAGUGGGACCGAACAGACACUACAUCGUAAUGUUUGUAUAUAUAUAUAUAUAUAUAUAUAUAUAUAUAUAUUUCUUUGCUUUCCUCUAUUUGAAAAGAAGUUUCCUACCCAAAACAUUCCAUAAAUGUUACUUUUCUUGUCCAAUAUCUAAUCCUUAUCUUAUCGUGCUAAGUUACGUUAGCUACGUUCCAACUUUUUUUUCUUCUUAUGUUUAUCGUCUCUUUCUAAUGAUCAGGAUCCAGUCCAUUCCAAUUAUAUAUUCUUUGAAACCAGGUCUUGCUCCCAAUGAUAUUUAUCUUUUCCGAAUCGAACGGAAUUAUGUAACAUAAUGUUUCGGGUACGAAACCUACUCCGAUAUAGUUGUAGCCGAUUUUUCUACAGGAGAACUCAAAUAGAUAAGACCUUAUGGUUGAUCUUUCUUCUGAUCCAAGCUAACGUAAAAAAAAAGAAAAAAAAUAAAAGCUUUACUAACUGAUUCAAACGUAGAAAAAUUUCAUUGCUUAUGCGUUCGUUUUUCUGCAUACAUAUCCUUCCUUAUCUGCUGCUCUUUUGAAUAGCCUUUUGGGUGUCUUACAUACAGUUCUUAAAUGAAGAGCUGUCUUUUAGAUGUCAAAUUUGCAUGUUUACCAGUACCUUUCCAUUCUCUUAAAAUUUGCAUAAAAUUGGUCAUUUAAUGGUGCUGAUGCAGAUUUAGACUUCUCAUUCUGUUGCUUUCAGUGAGUAUUUUAUGUUAUUUAAUUUUAUUUUUUUGAAAUUCUAGGCAAGUUUCAAAAUUUCUUGAGCGUAUUGAUCAUUCACAGCCGUGCUUUUCUAAAGGGCUACAUAGCUGAAGUAUUAUUUUGUUAACAUUAUAAAAGUAAGAAAGUCUUGAAGUACUAACUGUUAGAGAUUUAUCAGAGAAUCAAUUUUAUUUUAACUCUACCAUCAAUAGUACGAACAGUAGAUGUGAUUUUUAGCAUAUUAAUAUGGUGUGCACGAAAACAUUAGGCUCUUAGGAGAGCAUCUAGAUGUUAAAUGUGCAGUCUCUAAUUCGCGUACAUCGUACUAUUUAGCUGUUUUUAUCUUAUUCACUUGUUAGCUCUAACUGAUGGGAAUAUUGCUUUGUGAUCAUGUGUCAAAACUUCUAGGUGAAUGUAUUACUUUGAUUGUCUCUGAUCUUUUAAUAAGCAACAAAUGCUACAUGCAAUAUUUGGCCUACAAUUGUUAAUGAAAGUAUUCAGAUUGAGUUCUAAUUGGAAAUAGGAGGAACAUGAAUACAGCCCUAAUUGUUCUUUGGAUGACAUGGGGUUUCUUUAGAUCUCAGUGUAGUUCGCUGAUUGUGAAAUUGGGAAGCUUGGUUUAUGCGAACGCAAUAUGUAAAUGCACCACAUAGCAAGGUUUAAAGUGCUACCCUGUGUCGUACGGCACGGGGCGGCACGUGCCCUGCACGAUACGGGGGGUCUCGAACUUCCCUCCGUGCCGCGCAGCACCGUGCCGGACGAGACAGAGCGGUACGGUGCAACGUGCCAUGGCACAGUGCCAUGCUGGCACUAUGCUUUUUUUUUUUUUUUUUUUUUUUGCUUUUUGUUUCUUUUUUUUUUUGUUCUUUGGGGUAUCCAAAGUAUUCUGGGUACCCCACGCCCCACCUCCAAAGAUAUUGCAAAUCGAAAAUUUAUUUAUUAGGUAAGUCAAAAAAAUUAUAAUUUAUAUUUUUUGUUUAUCAAUAUACGGACAAAAGAUUUGUCCGAGCCCUCCAUUUCCACUGUAGAUAUCUAUUUUUUCUUUACAAAUUAUUUUUAUCAAAAUUUGUCGCACCACGAAAUUUUUGGCGAAUUAAGGGAAUAAAAUCGAACUCAAUAAACAAAUUUUGAGCCAUAUCAAACAUAAAAUUUUAUUUUUGCGCUAGAAGAUUGAAAAUACUGAUAAAAUUAAAAGCUAAAUUAAAUCAAUUGAUACUUAAAUUAUUUAAUUUAUUUGUCAUAUAAUUUAUUGCUUAAUUUUUUUGAUAGAUCUACUAAUUUUUUGAAAAAAUUAAUUAAAAAAAAUACUUUUUUUCAAAUACUUUUUAAAAUAAUUUUUUUCAAAUAAAUUUUUUUUUGUAUUUUAUAAAAGAAAGACUAUAAUAUGGUCAAAAGAAACAAAGAAAAAAAGAUAUCUUUGCAUUUUAAAAAUUCUAAGUUGUAAAAAUUUUUAUUCUGCAUCAGUAGGUAUAAUUGUACUUUACAUACAAAAAAAAUUACAAAUAUAUUAAUUGAUGAGUUUAGUAAGCUAUACAUAGCAAAUAUUCAUAAUUAUUUGAUUAAAUCUUUCAAAUAAUAUUAUAAGAGCUUAUUGGAAUAAAAAAAAACUGAAAUAAGUCCGUGCUAAAGUGUGUCAGUAGGAGGUCGUGCGUAUCCAUCGGCACGCAAGCGUACCAUGUGUCGGCAUGCAAGUGUGUCGGUGCCGUACCGUGCCAGGCAGACAGCGGCACGCCUCGGUGCCACGGUACUUUAAACCUUACCACAUAAUGUUAUGGUUAUUCCAUGUAACCACUUAUUCGAGAUAUUUAAAUAUCUUAUUAGUUUUCAGGUAAAUAUAGUCAAAAGAUCUCUCUUGUGGAUGUUUUUUUUAUACAAAAUAGUGGUGGGGACUGCUAACACUAAAGCAUCUUGCCAGAUGCUUCUCCGGUUGUGAUUUCUAUCAUCAUUUUGAAACAUCCGAAGAGGAAGCUCUACAGGACCUUCAAGAUUUUUGAAACCUUUCAAAACAUAGAAGUGAGUACAUUUGAACAAUGCGUUCCUGAACUACACGUAGCUAGUUUCUACUUUAGUUUAUGGAGACUAAGGAUUCGACAAGUGGCAUAGAAUUUAAGGACGGCAAGCCCUUCUAACUGAUAGAUAUGUGUCUUUUCUAGAUUUCAUAGAAUAACUUUGUUGUCAGGCAAAGAUGAACUUUGCUGUAACUCACAGUACUUUCUGACAUAACCUGUCUUUAAAGUGCAACCAUUCAUAUUAGGAAGAGGAAGGACUUUGCUUCUGACAAAUUUAAUUUGUGAAUUUCAACAUUUGGCUAUUGGAACGAGGUGCCAAGUUUUGUGCUGGGAGCAACUCUCAGUGCUCUGUAUGAAGCAGAAUCAGCUUUUAAGGCAAUCAUCAGAAAAUUACUGUUCAUCCAGAAAGAUUUCCAGCUCCUUACAAUUUAUACUUCUUUCAAAAAAUUUUGAGGAUCACUUACUGAAUUCUCCUUGACCAUAAAACAUUGUUACUCAUGGAACCUAUGUCAACUUUGUGCAGUUUCAUCACCCAUAUUUUGUAUCGAUUCUGUUGUUUUAGUUUUUAUAUCACUGUCUGUUUGCAGCUGUGACAUGUUUAUUUUGAAGUGACAACAUCAGUUGCUGCUGUUUGUCUUUUGUUGGUACUUACUGGCAAAAGAGAUUGUUUCCCUCUUGUGUCUAGAUGCUAUAAUGAAAGGGCCAAACCUUUUGUUCUCCCUUUGGAAGAGGACUAACAGCAGAAAACCAUGGUAACAGGCCCUGUACCGGGAUGACUCAGUAUGUUCGGCCUAACCAUAUGAUCUCGAUUUGGAUUCCGGUCCAUUAGUAUUAGGGUUAGCAAUAGACAGUGAAGGUUAGUUAUCUGUCAUGUUAGAUCAUUUUAUUCACUUGCUUUCACAUUGUCAAUCUGAACUUACGCCCUUGCUUAAUGGGACCCUUUGCUUGUCAACCUUCAUUAGCUACAUCAUUGAGUAAAUUAUUAUUACUCCAAGGAACUUAGCUUUUUGAUCUUCAUCUUACCUAUUCCAAGUCAUUCUCAUACAACAGCAGCAAGUGUUACAAACUGCAAACUCGCAUGGAGAAUCCUUGAUUAUUGCUAGAAAGAAUCGGUUAAAGUGGUUUCUGACUGUCUUUCCUACAUGUGUCAAGUUGGCCAGCCAAACUACUAGAUAUCUUACCUAGUCAUAUGAUAAUUGCUAUCUUAUCCAAGUUUGGCUGCAGCUCCAGCCCAAAACUGAUCGCAUGAUAAACACAUGAUGCCACACACACUCUCGCACAGAUACAAGGGGCCAUUAACCCAAGAGGAUGGUGAUGGAGGGGUGUGGAGAGAGAUCGAAGUGGUGGUUAUGAUGAAUUCUUUAUGAAUAAGUAAGUGGACAAUAAAGAUGAAUUCUUUAUGAAUAAAUAAGUGGAGAGAGAUCGAAGUGGUGUUGUAAUUGUAUCAUCUUUAUUGUUUAUUAAUAUAAAGUCUCUUCUAUAGCAGACCUGUAGGCACUCGAUGAAUUCACAAAUGUCGAACGAAGCUAAAAAUAAGAAACAACACAUUGAACAACGUUUUUUACAUGCAUCUCAGUUAUAUUUUGGCGAAGUGAUGAUUGAAUUUUACUGAUAAAGACAAUCAAGAUGCUGCAAAUCGAUCCUAGAUGCCGAGGGAGCUGCUAAUGUGCAACAUCUGUUCUUUUGGUGUUAGAUCUUAAUUGAUACACAGCCAACAGUUUGCUUUUUCUCUAUCUGUUUUACCUAUGCAUGUAUUAAACAUAUAUGCCCCUACAGGAACCAUUUGUGAACAUUCCAGAGGAGACAAUUCGCGAAGCUCUCAAAGUCGUUCUUGGUAUGUGGCACACAUUAUCUAUUUCACUCCUUUGUCAGAUUUUGGCUUGAGUAAGUUGCAAAGACUUUACACCAACUACUAAUCUCUAUUGCAGAUGUUCGAAAUCACCCGGUGCUUAUUCACUGCAAACGAGGAAAGGUAAAAAUUUAGAUUCAAUUUUUUUUUUUCACCACUAAUAGUGUUUGUUAUAUAUCAGAGCUCAAUUUUGUUUUUAAACUUUAUUAUUUACCUGUCCAGCAUCGAACCGGUUGUGUGGUAGGAUGUUUGAGAAAGCUUCAGAGGUGGUGCCUCUCUUCAAUAUUUGACGAGUACCAGCGUUUUGCCGCUGCAAAAGCUAGGAUUUCUGAUCAAAGGUUCAUGGAGCUGUUUGACAUCUCGAGCUUAAAACAUUUAUCGGCCACAUUUUCAUGUUCCAAAUGCCCAUAGAUGGUUUAGGGAAAACCGCCUUUUUCGUUAUUAGCGGAGACUUCAAGUUCUAAUGAUAGUCGGGAUCUAUCAAUUCCAUGAACAUUGCAAUAAAAGUAGAGAAGAAUUCUUUUUACUUGCAUACCAUGAUUAUGGAAGAAGAUACUCUAUAGGAUAUACUGUGGCAGUUUUAAAGCCAGCUUAUGUGAGCCUUUUCUUUCAAAUGCAAGUUUGUUUGGGUGUUUAGCCAUUUAUGAAGAAAGUAUGAAGGGAUAGUGCAAUUUGUCGUCCAUCAAGGACAGCUCAUGAAUCUUAAAGCAGUAUGAAUGGUGGAUUAGACGGUCUCACUGAAUGGAGACUCGUAGAAUCCCUUUUUCUAGUAAAGUUUUGGAGUUGCGCUACGCUUCUUCGAGAGUGCGGUCUACAAGAGAAAGUUCUCUAUGGGAUCUAAUUUGUUUUGUCCGGUGCCAAAAUAAUGUUGGGCGAUUGGUUUAAAAAAGGAAUCGAAAUAGGAAUAAAAAAAACAAAAUGAUGAAAAUUCACAACUUUUCUUUUAUUUUGGUCACUGAAAAAAUCAUGUAGUUGCUUAGCUGGCAGUUACACGGCGUUUUCGUCAAAUUUAAGAACUCUUUUAAUGACUGAGACUUAAUUAUAAUAAAAUGAAGAGCUUGGAGACGUCAAUGCCAAAAAAAAAAAGCAAUGCUAUAUAUAUGUACAGCCGAAUGCAGGUGUAUAUUUUACAUUCCACCCAUCCGAUGGGUGAGAUGCUUUUACUGGUCACUCCCACCAUUAAUAUAGAUGUGCAGGGCAUAACUUGUGGUAUAAAGUAGCUUUGCUAGUGGUACACUCCAAAAUAGAAUGCAUAUCUUACAUUUUCAUCCAAGAGCAAUUAUUUUUUUUACCUAUCACAUUAAUUUUUUUUUUUAAACUACAACUAUUUGAGUUUUUGUGAAUUUUAUGAUAGGGAGUCUAAAAUCUAGACCUCCCCUUUUGGGUUAUGUAAAUAGAUUUUGUUUUUGGAGAGUAAUGCUAGUCCUACAAUCAUUUUGAGUUGAAAGCUUACAAUCCCACUCAUUCAUUAAUAGCUCCUAUUAAUUUCUCUAUACCACCGUUUGGUUGGGGGUUAAGGGGUGGAAUAACCCCUUAACCCCUAAUUUAUACCCAAACACUAUUCUUAAGGGGUGGGGUUUACUAACCCCACCCCAAACCGGGUUAGUGGGGUUUACUAACCCCACUCCCCCUCCCAACUUUAACCCCGCACGCAUCCCGAGCCCUCACCUUUUUCUUCUUUAUCAAUCAUUAACCCCAUUCCCCCUCCCAACUUUAACCCCGCACGCAUCCCGAGCCCUCACCUUUUUCUUCUUUAUCAAUCAUUAACCCCACUCCCCCUCCCAACUUUAACCCCGCACGCAUCCCGAGCCCUCACUUUUUUCUUCUUUAUCAAUUGUUAUUUUCUUAUCCCACCUACUCCAACCAAACACUUUUUUUCACUAUUUUAGACUAACUCCAACCUCCAACCAAACACUAUGGGUUUCAUAACUUGUUUUUUGUUCCUUCUACGAAAACUCCAAUGGGGUCGGCAACCUCUUUGGAUUGUAGAUUUAGCAUUUCUCUUUUUCAUUUUUUUUGGGUUAAAGUGGAAAUAAAGGUUUAUGGGGAAUUUCUUUAAGUAACCAACUGGGGUUUCCUCUCAAGUGCAAUCUACAUGCAAUAUUGAAGCUUUUUAGAAGUAUCAUUUGAGUCCGUAUGAAUUGUUGCAUGUGCACAGUAUAAGAUGUAAUGGAUUUCGUCAACUUUAUCAUAGGAAAGUGUAGAUUCAGUAGGCUUUAUCUGUCCAUAGCAAAAUGAUAAAUUGCACUAUUUGUGCCUAAACUUUAAGUUUCAUUUUGGUUCUUAAACUUGUGAUUUUGACAUGUUAGACUUCAAACUUUUAAACAAAGUUUUAGUUUUUUAGUCCCUAGAAUAGUUGCUUGUGUACCUAAUUCAUUUAUUUGUUCAUACAUCAUGCAUUUAUUGUUACUUCAUUUAUCUCGUACUUUUAAUUCAGAAGUCCAAUUUUUAUAUAGAGAAACAAUCAUAAUUUAAGGGGUGGUUGGAUUUAAAUAUGCAGUAAAAAAGUAGCAUGGUUGAUGAAUGCAGGUUACACAGAUGUACAAAUGCAGUGAGUGUAGACAAUAAUUUAUCCUCUACUAGUAUUUAUAUAUGAGGACUAAAAAGAAACUCUUAAUUAUUAGAGUUUAGAAAUUACUAACACCAACCAUCUCUAACGCAAGUGGCAAAAGAGCUUGAUGGUUGGUACCCGAGACCCAAGUUCGAAUACUAGUUGAUUCACAUUUCCAGCUAAGUUUAUUUCUAAAUAAAAUAAAUGAAGUAGGUAGCAUGCUACCUUUCUCUCAAAAAAAAGAAAAUUGCUAACGUUGAACUUGAAUGAUCAAGGACCAAAAUAUAAUUUGUAUUACAGUUCAGGGACUAUGGGUGCCAUUACCAUAGCAAAAUGACAAAGAAAAGUACUAAAAAGAGUUAGUAAUCUCUGCAACUUCUCAUCUGAGAACUGUAAAAUUUAUCAAUCUCUUCUGAUUUUUAACUAAAAAAAAAUGAAAGAAAGUGACAGGACUCGUAAGGAAAAGAUAAUUUUGAAAUAGUAAAGUUAUAAAAUUACAAUCUAAAGUGAGCGAUAUCUUCUUUUUAUAAAGUAAAUCGACUUCGAUUCUUAACAGAACUCAACUUACCCUCUAUUUUUAUGCUUUUAGUGGGCCUAGUAUUUCUGGCAGUUGCAAUGGCUUUUUUAUCUCUGUAUUUAUUUUCAAAAUAAGUACUAAAGUAUUGAUAAUUUUUUUCGCUAUCUUUUUUUAGAACCGCCUAAGGUUCCAACUAAAAAAAUGAAAUAACUUUAUAAUUUAAUUAGUGAAAAUCAAUGAUAGAGGAAGUUAUCCUCAAUUUUCCCUCUCUCCUCUCUCUCUCUCUCUCUCUCUCUCUCUCUCUCUCUCUGCCUGCCUAUGACAAGUCCAAACUAACAAAGCAAUAUUCCAACUCAUACGCAUGGGUGAACCUUUUCCGUUUUUGCAGCUAAAGCAAUUAAAACCGUAUCCGUCUCUUAGUGGCGUGAGGCAACAAGAGAGAGAGAGAGCUCACAUAUUUCAUGUGACCCACUAGCCACCACAUCUCCCUCAUAUUUAUAUAACUACAUACCCAUAACAACAUUUUGUUAUCACCAUUGGAUAAUAGUAUAUGGCACGGAAUGUGAUCAUCAAGUACGCAAAGAAGCUCAAGAGGAAGAUGUUUAGUUGCUACAACGCGGAGACUUGUACUACUUCGUGCCCCGUCUACUGCGACGAGCUAUUUCGCAAAACCGCGACUAGUUACCGCACCGACGAUCCCGUCCUCUUAGCUUAUAUAACUGCGCAGAAGAACUUCCGCAUCCAGCCGAACCGCUUCAUGUAGACGAUUAUCAUGACAUGUGCAAAUGUGCUCUAGUAGAGACUAUAAUUGUAAUCUUUGCUGUUGAAUUUUUCUUCUUUGUUUCUUUUGCACAACUACAUAUAUUACACUUCUCAGAAAAGGUUAAGGAAUGAAAUAAGCGGAUCGUAGACGAGUUGCUUUGCGUUGACGGCCAUGACGAAAUCGCCGUGCGCGUAGUUUUGCAGGAACCGAACCUUCAACUUGGUCUUGUGGUGGCACUUGAGCAUUUUCAGUAGGUGCCUGACGUCGUUGCUAUCAGAAAGCGCGUCCCGACCGCCAUAGCUGAGGAACAACGGGAAGUUGUUCGGGAUGUUUGACAUGUUGUAGGCCGGAGGAUGCGCUUGCCCGUAGUGUUUCAUGUUCUCUUCGUAGCUGUCGUAGUCGUAUUUCGCGAUCGUCCCUCUCCGUAUCACUGGUUGAGAAAGAAUUUCGCUACCGAUCUUAUAGUUAAAUGCGAUUAAAGAGCGAAGAGUACUAGCCAGAGGAAUUAACUUACUCUGCGCCAUGUGGAUCAUGUUUUUCAUAGCAGUAGGUUGGGGUUCGUGGUCGAGAAAGACGCGCACGGAGGAAGGAUUAAGGCAGCAAUUUCGACCUCAAAUUGGAAUAGGAUAAGAAAAAAUUCUCAUUCAUGAAAAGUACAUUGCUAAUCAAUUUGAAGUGUUUAAAAUGAAUUUAUAUUCGAAAAGGUUUAGAAGGAGAAGAACCUGUGAAAGAUGUUAUCAGAUCAUAGCAAUUAACACCAGGUUGAUUGCACACUUGUAAAAGAAGUUCGUCUCCGGAUCUCCUGUUGCAUAAUUUAAGCAAGUCAAAUAGUAUAAGAGAUCCACGCUUCGAUAAAUCAACAUGUCGACAAUCCAAACAUUACCGCUCAUUCCUAAUUUCUUCUUCGCAGAACCAUUAAUCUUCAAAUUGUUCAUUCGAAUAUUGUUGUGGAUAUCGUGUACUUCAUUGUUCUAAUGUGACUAAAACAGAAAUAGUUAGAAGGGGACUCACCCAAUAAUAUUGAACUCAUGAAGACCAAGCCAGUAAGAAACCUGUGUAACAUGUCAAAAAAUGCAAUAGAUCAAAUAUUAUUCAAGUAUUCUUCAAUUUGCUUUGUAGGAUUGGAGUUAGUUUACUUCGCCAACGAAGGCAUCAGCUGAAGCCCUAGCAAUGCUGGAUGUAAUCUGAUCCAAAAAAGCGAUUGGACAUAGCAGGGCGGCAGACCGUAUCAUGUCUAGUAGGCGAUGCUCGCAAAAUGAUGCGAGGGCCAUCAAAGUUCCCUGGCAAAAUAGAAAAAGAAAAAAAAAAGGAGAAAAAAUCAAGAGUGUUUUUGUAAUUUGNUUUUUUUUUCUCUUAAGUCGCUUACUAGUCUUUCUUGUCGGUUGUGCAUUAAAGGUUUCUUUAACUCGUUUUUAUUAAUUCAUACCACAAAAACAACAAGUAUACAUUAUAAAUAUACAGUAUUCUUUCUCAAGAUGUCUCUUAUCAAUCUUCUUUUUUUUUUCAUGUAUGUGUGUGUGUGUGUGUGUGUGUGUGUGUGUAUAUAUAUAUCUGAAACACCUACUAGAUAAUCCUACACGGCAUUAAAGUUCACACAAAAGUACUAAGCCAACGUAGAGUAGCAAAUAGUGAAGUUAUAACGUAUCAUAAACCGUACGUAAAUUUAAAACCAUUAAAAAGUCAUAGUAAACAGAGAGUUUGAACAACAGAUUCAUACUAGCCGACUUAAAAUUUUAAACCACAUAUUACUACUAGAUUCUGAGGACUUAAAUUCUAAACGCCAUGAAUACAGGAAUCAGAUUUAUCAUUAAUAUUACAAAUAUCAUUUCUUUAACGUAAAUGAAAACUAAAAAAAUCGGACAACCUAAAUGUUUACACAGCCCAAAUGAGAAUUUUAACACCUAAAACUCUGGAAACCUAGUGAUCGGUUCACCACAGCUUAUUAACAUUUUAAAUGAAAGGUUCACAAAUAAUUAACACAACUAGUUCAGAUUGUAUCGGGUAGCAGCUAAACCUACGGCGUAAUAACAAUGUCCCGUUGAACAAUCGGUUGCCGUUCACGGAAACAAGAUGGAAAUAAUCAAUAUAGUAAGAAAUAGCUGAGAGAAAAAGGUAGAAUAGAAAGUUAGAGAUGACGGUAACUCAAGAGUAAGAAAGAAACAUAUAUAUAUACAUACAUUAUAUAUAUAUUAUUUUCUUCUUAAUCAUCUCAUACCUAUAGAUAUAUAUAUAUAUGUUAGCUCUCGGACAUGCCACAAGAGGGGCGCAAAACGCCCCCGGAGCGCGCUCUCUCUCUCUCCCUCUCUCUCUCUUGUCUCCCUCCUCUCUCUCUCUCGUAUGUCUCUCUCGCCCUCUCUCUCUCUUGUCUCUCUCUCUCUCUCUCUCUCUCGUCUCAUCUCUCUCUCUCGAUCCGCACCCCCUCGACGCGCGCCCGCUUGCUCUCUCGCUCUCUCUCUCUUUUUUUGAAGAAAGAGGUAAGAAAUUAUGCAUGUUCAAAUUGUAUCAUUCAUUUAUGCAUUCUAGAAUCCUUACAAUUUAAAUGGAUAAUUGUAUUACGAGUCCCAAGCUUUGAGUCAAGCUCAUAUUGGUCCUCAGACUUUUUGAUUUGGCAUACGAGACCUUGAAUUGUCAAUAAGGCAUUAUUUUUAGUCCAUGAACUUUCGAUAAUUUCAUUUAGUCUUUAUCAUAUAAUAGGAAGUCAUUCCUCGCACCUAGUUCAUUUAUAUAUCCAUACUCUACUAAUUCUUCUUUUAUUAUUUAUCUAUCGCAAACAAUAUCUAUACAAAGAAAGAAUUAUAACUCAAUGGCAGUAGGAUUGAAAUAUAAGAUGGAAAAAGAAGUUGAUAAAUAAUGAUAUAAUUAAUAAAGGUAAACAAAUGCACUUGGCGUUGGGCCGUUGGCAAUAAUUUGCCCUGUAAUAAUAAUGCGCAUAAGGAUGAUGUUGAGCUAUUAUACUAUUAAUUAACAUUAGGUGAUUUACUAUUACCCCUUAGAUCCACAGUUGUACCACCACCAAAGAGUAAACCCUACACAUAUAUCCAAGAGGCUAAAAAAAUAAGGGCUUUUUUUGCAUUUAGCCCCCUGGCAAAUUUUUAUUUAAAAAUUAGCCCUGUCAAAAUUUAAUUUGCAAAAAUGGCCCUGAGCCUGCCAUGCAGGUGCCACGUCAGCGCCACGUGGGCAGGGCCGGACCCGUGUGUUAAGUUGAACACGGUGAACCAUUCACAGUGUUCAAACACGGUGAAUGUUUCACUGUGUUUAGUAUGUAUUUUUUGUAUAUUGAAAAGAGGAAUAGGGAAUAGGGAUGGAUGUCAAUAGGUAUGGAUAUCCGAAAUAUUAUCCGAAUCCAAACCUGAAUAAAUUAUAUAUAUAUAUAUACGUAAUUUAUUUUUGUUUAUUUAUANNNNNNNNNNNNNNNNNNNNNNNNNNNNNNNNNNNNNNNNNNNNNNNNNNNNNNNNNNNNNNNNNNNNNNNNNNNNNNNNNNNNNNNNNNNNNNNNNNNNAAUGUUUUGGGGGAGUGGACCAAUCCAAUUACCAUUCCAAUUCAUUUACAUUCAUUAUCUAUUCUAAUUCCACCUUUGAACCAAACAAGCCCUAAAUGGAUAUCGGAUGAAAGAGUUAUUAUAAUUUUUCUAAUGCAGUACUGAGCUACAAGCUAGUUCAAAAUUUUACCAAUUGUUAUGGGCAGUUUGGUAAAUUUAAUAAUUAAAAAUAUAACAUAUCAACUUAGCUGGGUAACUAUUGGUCCAAUCAUAAUUUUUUCAAGAAAAAUAUUGAGUAAAUAAAAAAACACCCUUAAAUAUGCUAGUUUGAAUGGGAGAAGAGAAAAUCUGCUCUUCUAUUCUCAUUGUCUUCCUUUUUUCCCUUUUCCCCUUCCUCUCAAUACUCUAUUUCUCCUCUCUUUUAUUUAGCAAUGAGAGGAAGAAUUUUUUUUUCCUUCAAAUUGAAGGGAUUUAGGAGGUGACCUUUGGAGAAGGAAACCCAUUUUCAAGUUGAAAUUCUAGUUAGAGAAUAAAGUAAGUAGAUUUUUCAAUUUGUACUUUGUGAAUAUCAAAAAAUGAAUAUUUUGGAUUGUAUGCAUGUUUUUCUAUUCUGUUUGAAUGUCCCAAGCUAUUUUUUAUGGAUUGGCUAUAGUUUUUGAAGAUUUUAUCGCACUAUAUUCAAAUUGAAGCCCUAAAUUGGGGGGUUUUACCCUAUUACAAGAUUUUCUUGUAAUUUUAGGGUUGGGCUUCGUUUGGUUCGGGGUUAAGUAAGAAAUAAUUAUUUCAGAAAUAUAAUUAAGUUUAAGAUUAAGGUGGGGUUAGAGUAAUUUUGUGUUUGGUUGAGAAUUGGGUUUAGUCCAGAUAUAAGCAAAAUAAUAUUUGGUUGGAGUAAUUAAGUUGAAUAAUAAAAAUAGUGGGUAGUUAUAAAUAGAAAAUAAUGAUAUUGUCCUAAUUAUUAUAUUUGAAUUUAAUUUUUUUAUUUUAUAUUAAAAAUUUUAGAUAACUUUUAAAAUUAAAAAAUUCAAAAUUAAAAUUUAUAUUUUUAAAUCUCAAAUUUAAAAAUUUCAAAUUUCAAAUAAAAAAAUAUUAAAUUUAAAAUUAAAAUAAUUAAAAAUAAUAAUUGAAAUUAAAAUUUUAAAAUUUAAAAAUUAAAAUUUAAAAUGUAAAUUUUAAAUUUUAAAAUUUUAAAUUUUAAAAAAUAAAUAUUAAUUUUAAGAUUGCAAAUUAUACAUUUUUAAAAUUUCAAACAUAAAAUAUAAAAUUUAAAAUUUAAACAAUUAAAAAUAAAAUUAAAAUUUUAAAUUUAAAUUUUCAAAAUAUUAAUAUUAAUUUAAGAUUACAAAUUAAAAAUUUUUAAAAUUUAUAAAUCAAAAUUAAAAUUAUAAAUAUAUAUUUAAAAAUUAAAUUGGGGGUGGGAUUAACUUAAUCCCACCCCAAUUCUAGGGGGGUGGGGUUUGUUAACCCCACCCUUUACCGUAAAGGGUGGGGUUAACAAACCCCACCCCCAAAUGUUUUUGUUUGGGGAUAAAAAGGGGGUUAACCCCCUAACCCCUCUUUUAUCCCCGAACCAAACACACACUAAGAGCUCAAAAUGAGAUUUUGAUUAUUAACUUUUCGUUCUUGCUACUUGAAAUAGGGGCCAAUACAUAUAUAGUUACAUGAAUUGCCUUUAUUUUUAAGAGGUUUUGAUGAGUUAAUUGCAUGCUAUAAGGCUCCAAAAUUAGGAUUUUAAUCAACUACGAGGUUAAACUUUUGUAGUUGAUUUUAAGAGUUUAGAAUCCUUAAAUUAAGAUGUCAAUCAUGUUCAAAUAUAUUGGCCAUGAAUGUAUGAUAGAGCAAAUUGUUUGAUCAAAUUUAAACUUAGUUUGUUAAUAUUUCGAUCAAUUUAUGCUAUUUUCAUUUUGAACUAUUCCGGUUAGCUUUCAGAGGGUAUAAACAUCUAGUUAAGAUAUCGUUUGUUAAAAUUAAGUAUCCCUAACCCUUAUAUAGAGAGUUAUUUUAAGAUUUUUAUCUAUUUUUAGAGAGUUAUGAACUCCCGAAAUUGAAACUUUUGUUCUAAUCUGAGAAUAGAGCAUAAUAGUUGAAAUGAUGGACUUGAAUAAGUCUAAAUCAUUUAUGAUUAAGAUAAAAAUAAAAGAUUAAUGGAGAUACUCAUUAUUUGUAUGUUAAGUACUUAGGACGUGCAUGCGGGAGCUCCUACUGCCGAACCUUCCACGUCUUAGAUCAAUCUUUUCUUAUUUUGAGGUGGAAUCCUCGUACUCAUAAGUUGUUUUCGAUGAUGGAGCUUCCAAAUCGACGAUCCACUCCGUUAAAUAUGAUCUAGAGUAUUUGAAACUUCUAGAAAAUAAAUUUCGUAAAUUUUCGAAAUCAUAAUAAAGUCUAUCAAAUGGGCAUAAAAUGAACGAUCAAAAUCGAAUGACAUCCUAAAAAAGCAUGAUCGGAUCCUUCAAGUCAAGAUCGGAGUUAUUGAUCUUUAUCUAUAUAGUGAAUAAUAAUUUCUUAAUCAAAAAUUCAACAAAUUCCGAUUUUACACGUUUAAACUAGAAAGUAUCCCAUUACCGGCCGUAAAAUUUGUCAAAUUUGUGACCUCUUGAUCAUAUAGUAAAAUGAAUCGAAAAGUUUAGAAUAAAAUUGUGAUUUCUAGAAGUUAAUGCUGUAAAUAAUGUUUUAAUGGUUUGAAUCUCGAUAUCGGAUAGCUCUAUCAUCAGAAAACAACUUCAAUGAGUAUGAGGGCGAUCGUAUCAUAAUAGUAUAGUAGCUGGAACCCUAUAAUAUAUAUAUCAUAUAAUAUUAUAUAUAUAUUAUAUUAAUAUAUAAUAUAUAUAUAUAAUAUAUAUAUUAUAUUAUAUAUAGUAACUAGGUAUAUACUAUCAUACAGGAGCAUUUCGUGAUAUCAAGUGUUUUCGAUGAUGGGCUUCCAAAUCAACGAUCGGCUCGUUAAGACUUGAUCUACACUAUUGAAAGUAUUUAGAAACUAAAUUUAUAAUUUUUCGAUAUCAUUACCUAUAAAUAAGUAGUCUAAAUUGAACGGCUGAAAAUAAAAUCUCAUAAAAAAUGAUGAUAAAAGAUUUAAAUUCAAGAUCAGAAUAUAUCUGAUCUUACGCUAAAUAGUGAAAAGAAUUUUCUAUAUAAAUUUUCAUCGCAUUUGGAUUGUUUUACCCGUUAAACUCACAAACAACACACAGUGCCAUUAAAAUUGCAAUUUUGAGAUCUUUUGAUCACACUAGUUCCAAUGAGUUGAAAAAAUCUUGAAAUUUAGUUUCAAAUACUUUCAAUAGUGUAGAUCAAUCUAACGAGCGAUCGUCGAUUUGGAAGCCGCAUAUCGAAAACAACUUGGUACACGGAGCGCUCCGUGCUACCGAUACAUAGCAGACGGACCUAAUAUAUAUAUAUAAUAUAUUAUAGUUAUAUAUAUAUAUAUAUUUAAUAUUAUAUUGCUAUUGAAUGUUCAUAAUUCUUGUUGCAUACUUAAUUAUUAUUCUAAGAACUUAUGCCCUUGUUGUUUAUUCUUUGGUUCAUGAUGCAAUGGAAUUUGAUCUUAUGCUUUAGCAUGUCUCUUUUUAUCACAUUGUACUAGUAGAUGGUAUGCAUUUGUAUUGGAAGGUAGCAUUGUAAUAUCCGAGAUUUUGACAAUAUAAUUAAACCCUUUGUUGACGAUAUUUUUAUGUGUAAUGUAAUCAAAUGUUGAUUUCCAGUGCGUUUUUCGGCGAAAUUCGCCGACAGAACGCAUUUUCUAUUCAGAAUUAUUCUGACGGUGCCUUGUGAUAAUUUGUGUCGUUGUAGAGCCUGGUUGGCUGGUCAUCCAUGUCGUUUCAAGGGUUCGAAUGUGGUAUUCCUAGAGGAUAGUAGUUGAGGCUUGUCGACAGCUCUGAAGAGUGUCGGGACAAGUCCGAGUCGCGAUGGCACGAAAUAGACACAAAACGGACUCAGUGGGAACGCGAGAGCAGGAAUUAGCACUGCAAUAUGCAAAUAGCAGAUUUUUUGCUUGCUGUACCGGUACAACCAUCAUGGCUUACCAGUACAUCUUACUGUACCGGUACAACAUCAGAGGUGUACCGGUACACUGCGCAUGUUCUCGUGCAUGCUGCUCUCAGGUUGCCAUUUGUACCGGUACAACUACUCGUGUAUUGGUACACCAGGGUAGGUGGAGGGCAUUUUGGUCUUUUCAUGCCUCGUACGUGUCACCCUCUCUCCCCUUGCUAUAUACAGGUGGAGGAGAACUGAGAGAGAGUGUUUUGCUGGUUUCUUCUCCUCUCUCUCUCUAGCAUUGGCAGUGAGCAAGGAAGAGCUCGGGUAGAGUUGGUUUUUCGCCGACGUCGCGUUGCGGUGCCGUUCGAGCGUACGUUCGUCGUUGUAGCAUCGCGGGGAGGCUGGGCGAGGGUGUGAUUCCGCCGUUCUCGACGUCGCGUCGGAUUGGGAGUAGCAUUUGAGGUGGGUUAAUCGUCAAUUUAUCUUCUAAGUAUAUAUAUAUAUAUAUAUAGUCGGCAUGUGUGUGUAGUAGUGUUUUGUAUAUCACAUUUGCUCGAUUCAUUGAUUUAGCAUAGUUACUAAUAAAAUCUGAAUUGGAGUCUUAUUAUUGACUAUCUCUAUUAGCACAUGUUGGACUGGGAUUUGACUUAGGAGAAAACUGCGAUUAUAACCUGUCAUAUGUCUAAACUAUCAGAUUUAGUUUUAGGAGCCGUUGUAUUGUUGUCACGCUGCAGUUUUAGCGUGGUGGAUACCCAACAUAGUUUAGAUUUCCGUUACGCUCAUACUGGGAUGCCGAGUGUAUUUUUACAGUAGCGUUCGGACUGUUGCGGAUUAGUAGGGGCCGUCGGGGUUGGCGGUGGAUCUAGAUUACCGGUUUGGCAUUAGAUUGUGGCGGGGGCACGUGACUUGUUGGUUGUUAGACCAGUUGGACCUUGUUAUUUGACUUUAGCUUGUGAGAGCCGGAUUGAGCUCGACAGAGAUACGCUUGCACACUCAGUUGGGUAGCUCUCACGAAUGCCACUCCGGAGACUGGCGCUGUGCUUUUGCGUUGGUGUCGUUCGUGCAGGUUCGACUUGCUCUCCACUGACUGCUUAGGGUGGAGGUAGCUGUACAGUCGCAACCGGGCGGGACGGGUGUGUUCACAGUCCCAGGGACGAGCAUGCUUACAGUCCCCAGUGAGAUUGGGUCAGGAUUGAUAUUUGCUACAAUUGGUUAGUGUAGAGCAUGAUAGUACAAUGAUAUUUAGCUGUAGAUUUCUUCCGGCUUUUCCUACUAUCCUUGCUUCCUAUUGUAGACUUGGUAGGUGGACCGACGAUACUGAGGGCGGUACCCAUUGAGGACUACUUAUUUUUACAGUAGUUCUCAUGCCCAGCUGUUACCUUUCUUUUGCAGAACCUUCGGUUCCAGCUGCUGCAUCUUCUGAGACAGAUCGUGGCAAGAGUGUUGCGAGCUAGAGCCCUACCCGACGAGUCGCCGAGAUAGAGAUCACCUGCUGUAGGUAGUUGUACUUUUAUUUUGAAGUUCAUGUGCAUACAGAUGUUGUAACUCGCUAGGGCGAUGUCACGCCCCGAGCCCGAUCCCUUUUGGCCAGUUCGAGAGCGUCAAACAGACGCCGAACGGACAGAGCUUCCCCUGUCCGCCCAAGGCUCAACACUAGUAUCAAUAGAGUACAAAUUUGUAUAAGCGGAAGCAUACAUAAUGGCUUGCACGAGGGCAAGCAAUAGCCAAGGUGAAAGAAUUAGCAAUUCAAUAUACAAGUAAUAUGACUAAUUUAAAUCACAUACAUGCAUCAUUUCUUUUUUUACAUCUCGUUUCUCCCAAAAUAUAACUUUUGACAUUUAAAGUAAAUAUCCUUUACAUCAUUCAUUAAAGCGAGUUCAUAAUACUAAAAUCAUCAAAUACAAAAGAUGAUAGUAAAGGGUAUGCAACUACAAAAUGAAAUCCAUCUCGUGCGGUCUCUACCUAAGGCGCGAUGCCCUUACCGCGAUCAUCUGCCGGCUCGCUCGGUCCCGACUUUGUGAAAAUAGUGGGGUGAGAAUUACAACAAAGUUCCCAGUGGGUUCGGCAACCAACCACGCCGACUAUCCCACUAGGUCUAAUCAGGCAUAAUAGAAUAAAGGAAAGUAAGUAGCAAACUAACAAAUGCAGCUAAUAUGCCUGAACAAUAAAAUAUGCGAUGCUCAAUACAAUGCUCAUGGUGAAUGCAAGAUUAACUUUUUAUUACCCAAUCUCAUGGCUAGCCCGUAGGUUUCGCCCUCACAAACUCACCAACCCAAAUCCCUAUUAUCGGGGAGAUAACCGCUACGACCCGACGGGACCGCCCUCUGGGGAGAUAACCGCUACGACCCAGUGAUGACAACUCCGGAGCACAUCGCCCGAGGGGGAGCUACUGCCCUCGAGCAAGGACUAUUAGGUGAGUACGAUCAAUCCUUAACUUUAAGGAUUUUAAGUUUAAUCCAUUCCUUGACUUCAAGGAGAACCAUGUACAUAUGACCCUUAAUUCUAAGGUGUAUAUGUCAUAAUGUCACUAGCCCAAUUUACUUGUAUUCUCUAACCUCUACUAGUGUCAUGUACACUACUUGUUCUUGUUCUUUGUCAUUGAUGCCACACUUGUUUUCUAAGUGCUAUGUUCUUGUACUCAUGCCACACUCUAUGUCUAUGCCAACAUGUCACAUUUGUUUACUAACCCUUCUAGGUUCUUGUCCCUUGUCAUGCAUAUAUAGGGUUACCAAUUCUUAUUCAUUUACUUCUAUUUCUCAAGCAUUAGAACUCAUAUCAUGCAAAGAAAAUUUACAAUUAACCCUACUAUGCAACAUGCUCAAUAUAAAUACAUAUGCUCAAAUAUGACGCUUUAGACAUAAAGGGAUGUCCGAUGUCGUUGGAAUGCACCACCCACCUUAGAUGGUCACAAGGAUGCUACGGUGAAUUUCUUGGAAUUUUUGAAGCCCUAGUCUGCGUGCUGCGGCUAUCUGUACGGAAAAUAACGUUUUUAUUAAUAACUUUGCGUACACUCAUCGGAUUGUCGAACCGAGCGUUCCAACGCGUUUAAAAUACCCUCAAUUAGGUUUCUACAUGAUCAAAAUAGAUCAAGACCCAACUUGGGCAAAACCCCUCUUUGGGAUGCCCUAACAUGUUAUUUUUCCAUUUCUCCGAGAUUGAUCUCAUUCCUAAGCAAAAGAUAGCUUAGAUUCACAUGGGAAGCUCUCUAAUAAGGUUUCUAAGCUUUUAGAACCAUCCCUAGGGCAUCUACUUUGAGCCCUAGUGAUCCACCAUGAGAGGGGUCUAAGAAAUCCAUGUUUUUCAUGGAGUCAUGGUCCUUAGAGGAUUUCCUCACUUGUAGAGAGAUCAAAACCCAAAAAUCUAAGGUCUAAACCCAAACCCUAAACUCAUUUUUGCAUAAGGACUCACCUUUGCCCAAGCUCCACCAAAGCCUACUUGUUGGAGAGCUUCUAGGACCACCAAAGCCACCAAAAUCCACUUCUCCAAGCUCUUCUCCACCUUCUCCAAGCUCUAGGGCUUGCUUUCUAGAGAGAGAAAGAGAGGAAAAUGAGAGAGAGGGUGAAAUGGGUGUUGGCUGUGAGGGGAAGGGGUAUUGGGCUAUUAACAUGUUGUAACAUUUGCCAAAAAACCCUCCCAAUCUUUAUAUUUUGCAGCAGACCUCGUUUUGCUGUCGGGCCCAAAGUGUACCGGUACACUUUUUCGUGUCACCGGUUACACGACUACGCAGAGGCAAACCCGAGAGCAGAUCUCUCGGUUUCGCCCAAAAUGUACCGGUACACUUUUUCGUGUCACCGGUUUCAGCAUGUGUAACCGGUGACAGGUCGCUUGCUGUACCGGUACACAUUGCUCCAGACCUGAUUUUUGGCUCCGUCUCGAUUCUAUUUUGCGCCGAUCGAUGCCAAAACCCUUCUAACACUUCUAGAACUCAUUUUUAACCCUCCCAACAGUGUUGGUAGGUUAAUUGGAACUCGCCCAAUUAAUCCAUUCGCGCACUUUAGUCAGUUUGCCUAAAGUUCGUCAUUUUCUAUCUAGGUUUCAAUACGUUACAGGCGAGUAUCUUUGUACCUGGAUGCUUUGUAUCUAUAUGGAACUUGCUUUUGUUAUUACUUGUUUAUUUCCUAGCAGCUCUAUACUACUUGUUGUAGUAUUGUAUGAUUUACAGAUACAGUUACGCUUCGUAUACAGGAAAUUUUUUUUUGUAUACGGUGGAUUUGUCGGCGUGCCCGGGGAACGUGUAAUCCGGGGCGUGACAUAUAAACGACGGGUGAGCGACGGUGGGUUCCGAUGUCGAAUUGAACACUUCCGGGAACCCGGAUCGGAACGAUUAUCCGAUGAUAAUUAUUUUGAAGUGAGACAAUAUUUUUGCUGCCAAGUCACACGAAAAUAUGUGUUUAGUGGCAGCGGAUAACUUGUAGCUGGAGUCGGUGAGUUCCGGUAUAGUACGUGGGUCCUAUCGGAGUCUCGAUGCAAUUUUCGGGACUUCCGACGUGUUUGGCAAUCGAUUUUGGGAAACAGAUUCCCGUAGGGUUAGUGGUGGGGUUUGUGAGUUAGUGAUUCGUGUUGUGGGUUGGAUGCUAACCCGGUAGACCCUUCGUAGGUCCGGUUGUGACUUCCUCCGCAGUUGGAAGGCCAGUACCACAUUUGUACAGGUGGAUACUUCGAUCCGAAGUAGGUACAGUGGUGCAUGCUCGGUGACAUCUUCUUACCCUUGUUCUCUAGUUGUUAUCUUGCAUACAUAUGUCUAUAUAUUGUGUUGAGUCUAGCACCUAUGUUGUUCUUGUUAUACUCUACUCGGUUGUUUUUUUAUGUGUAGUAUCAUGAGUAGGAGUAAAGUAGAUUUAUGAUUUCAUGUGAGAUUGGUGACCUAGUUGGUCGGUUCUAGUAUUCCAUAUCUGUGACCUUUUUGGUCGGUUCAUUGUAUAUGGUAUUAUGACCUACAUGGUCGGUUGGACUACUUGGUGACCUAUACAAUCAGUAUGCCCAGAGGGGUAGGAUUGUCGGCUAGUUGUCGAUGGUUGGCUAUUGAGCAUUCAGCAUCGAUUGUUACAACUCGUACGCAUUUCACGAACAUCAGCGGUCUGAUCCAUCGCAAGAGGGUGUUCUUUUCGAAAAAAGUGAUUGGAUGUGCCAGCCCAUGAGCCCAGCAGUCAGAACUAGGUUAUAUGCAGCCUGUGAGCCCAGCGGUCAAACUGGGUUUAUAUACAGGUACAGUGACAGUGGCAUAGGCCUGAGGUGUUGCGGACCAAUAUGGUUGUUUCUGAUUAGGUAUUUUUGGACUUGUUGUCCGGCUGAUGCAUACAUACAGUAGCAAUAGUUGUUCAUUUAUACAUCCUGUUCAUUUAUUAUCGCUGCUACUGUAUUACACUUACCCAUACCUUUGUUUAGCUUCCUUGACUAGUGAGUACCCUUCGCCCUCGUCGACUUGUGGUACCUACUGGGAGGAGAGAUAUGUUUAUAUAUUCUCACCCCCCACCCCCAUUACAUGUGACGUUGUGGGACGAUUCGUGAGGAGCUCGUCUAGCGAUCGAUAAAUCCACCGUCCCAUUGUUUGGUUAAUUCUCAAACUCAGAUUCUUUAAAUAAAUGACUUAGACAGUUAAUUGGUUCAGUGACUUAUUACUUUUGAAUUCAUACGGUUUUAUAAAUGUAAUAAAGGAUUUGUGGAUUUUUGUGAAAUAGAAAUUGUUUUCUAUCCCUCGUGGUAGCGAGUUUUAAAAGGAAAAGGUUUCCGUAUGGAAAACUGUUUUUAAAAGGUUUUCUUGGUUUUCAUGGUUUAGUGUUUUAAAACGAAUUUUCGGAUAGGAAACAUUUUAAACCAAUAGUUGUGGAUUUAUGAAUAACUCUGAUUAUGAAUAUGAUUGUGAAUGGUGUUUGAUUAUGUGUAUGUGUAUAUGUGUGGUUGUAUUCUUUAUGGUAAAUCUUGUAUCUUCUACUUGUGCGACGCCGUGCAAAUAAGGGGGGACUCUGUUUAUGUGAAUAGUGGACUCCCUAUAUUUGUGGCAAAUCUCGCAUACCCUAGAGGUCGGGAUUUAAAAAAAAAAAAAAAAUUGGGCACUUCCGCUAUGAUUUUAAACCAAAAUGGAACCCCGGGGCUUGACGGACGACGCCACUGCAAGUGAUCGGUGAGCUCUCAAAGUAGCCGAAGACAGAGGUGUCGCUCAGCUGUAACCUCCAUAGGUAGGGGUAGACCUCUUGAUGGGAAAGCGUAGAGGGCGAGAGAGGUAAGGAGAGGAGAUUAGAGAGAGAGAGAAGAGAGAUAGAGAGAGGGGUAUAGGGCCUACGCGUGUAGGCCUACACCUCAUCACAGCGCGAAGAGAGCGUGGGCGUCGUAGAGAGAGGGGAGAGAGAGGAUGGCAUGGUGGGGGAUAGCUAGAGGUGAGGAGAGGAUAGAGGCUCGAAUAGGAGAGGGGUAGAGAAAGAGCCAGCGACAGAGGGGGGAGGGAGGAACAGAGAGAGAAAGCCACGGAUGAAAGAAAAAGAGAGAGGAGCGGGUAGAGGAGUGGGGCUAGGGAGAAAAAGGGGGGUUCGGCUAAGAGGAGAGAGAAAGAGAGAUAGAGAGAGAGGGUCGGAUAGAAGAGGGCUAACGAGAGAGCGAGAGGGGCAGCCGCAGAGAAGGAAGGAGAGAAGAGAGAGAGUCUGCGGUAGCUGAAGAGAGAGAGACAGUUGGGGGUGAGUGGAAGAGAGAGAGGGUGGGGUGUGAGAGGAGGGUAAGAGAAAGAAAAUGUUAGGUAUAGGGAAGAGAGAGAGAGAGUGAGACAGCUGUAAGGGAGAGGGAGAGGCUAGGCUAGGCCUUCUCGCCACGUGUAAUGCAGAAUAAAGAGGCAUGCCACGGGGAAUUGAUGAAAGUGUCAAAUAAUAUAGUGUUAAGAUGCUAGGAAAUGCCACCAAUGCCAAGUCCAUAGUGAUUUUAUCGAUCAACAUCCGAACCCUCUGCACCCGAUAAUUGCCUCUUGGCCGUUUAAAAUGUGGGGAACAGACGUCAUAGGGCCAAUUAAUCCUUCCUCAUCCCGAGGGCACAAAUUUAUUCUCGCAGCAACAUACUACCUCUCUAGAUGGGCUGAGCCUAUUCCUUUGAGAGAAGUGAAAGUAGAUAAUGUCAUAAAAUUUUUUAGAGAAAAUAUUUUGAACCGCUUCGGAAUUCCUCGUCGAAUUAUUUCUGACAAUGGCUCAGCCUUCAAAAGUUUUUAGGUCAGCAAAUUCGCCCCCGACCAUAAAAAUUGACUAGCGAUAUUUGUUAAACUAUAAUCCAAGAGCUAAUGGUUUGGCCGAAGAUUUCAAUAAAACCUUGGUCAAACCUCUGAAAAAAAUUAUUGAUAAAAAUAAGAGGGAAUGGCAUGACAAGAUUUCAGAUGCGCUCUGGGCUUACCGAACAACUUUUAAAACUCCUACUCAAGCCACACCUUAUUCUUUGAUUUUCGGAACGAAAGCUGUCCUUCCUCUGGAAGUAGAGCUACCAUCACUAAGGAUGGCGGUUCAACACGAAAUGACAGAUGAAGAAAAUAUCUUCUUAAGACUUGAUGAACUGGACUCUUUGGACGAGAUGCGAUUGGCUACGCAACAGAACUUAGAACUUUAUCAGUCUCAAAUGUCAAGGGCCUAUAACAAGCUGGCGCGUGUCCGCACUUUUCAAGACAGACAUACCGGGGGCAAAUUCGAUCCAAAUUUGGAAGGUCCCUAUGUUAUAGAAAAAGCAUAUGAGGGAGGAGCUUAUCAAUUAAUCGACACAAAAGGAGAAAGACCGAUGUCACCGAUCAACGGACGAUUUUUGAAGAAAUACUAUCGGUAAAAAAAAUAAAAUAAAAUAAAAUCCGGCUGUGAAUAAAUUUCACGGGCAAAAAUGAAAUCCCUGCGGUGAGAAAACCUACAUUUGGCUCACAGGCAAAAGUUAGGAGAAAGGUUUCUACCGAAAACCCUCACGGGCUCUAGUUUCCAAUAAAUCUAAAAUCCACACCUUUUUUCUGCCGACGAUGGAAAUGCUAACUCACCCCUCGGGGUCGGUUAUGUGCAGCAAUCUCGAUAUACUGAGUUGCUUUCGGAGGCCAAAUAAACUCAACAACUUCAUCACAGUUUGCAUUAACAAUAGAUAAACUAAGAAGCAUCCAAUCUCAUGCUUAAAAAUUAGGCAAUCAUAUUUGUCUUCAAUCUCAUGAAAUUGAGGAGCUAAUUAAUUACACAACUAGGAGCUAAUCAUGUAUACAUAUAUAUAUAGAGUUGAGCUAGAAUACUAUCAAUAGCAAACCGGUACUUUUGCCACCCAUUUGUUUUCGAUGAUGGAGCCUCUAAAUUGACGAUGGGCACCAUUGAAUAUGAUCUAUACCAUUUGAAGUAUUUAGAAAUCAAAUGUCAUAUAUUUUCGAUAUUGUUAUCUUAUCCAUCGAGUGGACACAAAAUUGAAAGGCCGAAAAUGAAUAUUCUUAAAAAAAUGAUAAUAUGAGUCUGAUAAUCAAGAUCAAGAGUAUAGAUCUUGUUUUAAAUAGUUUAAAAAAUUUUCUAACAAAAAUUCAAUUGAUUUGGAUAUCUUUACGCCGUUAAACGAGAAAACGCCUCAUAUCAACCAUUAAAAUUACAAAAUUUGAAACCCUUUGAUCAUUAGGUAAAUGAUGUCGAAAAAAGUUGAAAUUUGAUUUCUAAACACUUCAAGUGAUAUAGAUCAUGUUCAAUGGUGCCAAUCGUCAAUUUGGAGGCUCCAUCAUCGAAAGCAUAUGGGUGGCAAAAGUGCUGGUUUGCUAUCGAUAGUAUUCUAGCUCAACUCUCUCUCUCUCUCUCUCUCUCUCUCUCUAUAUAUAUAUAUAUAUAGAGAGAGAGAGAGAGAGAGAUAAGCUCCUAUACUUUCGAAAGUACGGGAGCCCCCGUACUUGUAAGUUGUUUUUAAUAAUGAGACAUCCGAUUCAGCGAUCGGUUCAGUUAGACCUAAUCUACGCUGUUGGAACUACCUAGAAACCAAAUUUCAUAAUUUUUUGACUUCGUUUGUCUAGUAAACAAGUAGCCUCAAAAUAAAUGACUGAAAUUGAAAAUCUCAUAAAAAGCAGUGAUAAAUGACUCAAAUUUCGAAAGUAUUGGUCUUACUAUUGAUGUUAAUUAGAAUUUUCUAUUAAAUUUUCAUCUAAUAUGAAUAUUUCUACACCGUUGAACUUAAAAACGUGCCACAUCGGCCAUUAAAAUAGUCAUGAUUAGCCUGUGCUAGAAGAGAUGAUAAUUGAAACUUUGAUUCCAUCAUGAAUUGCGACAAUAAAAGGAGCGUAUUCCACAUUUUUUUUGUACCAAAACAAGAAAGUCAAAGCAUGCGGAAAAAAUCUCCAAUCAUGCAAAGAAUUACAAAGACCAAGAAGAAUUAAUCCCUAAGAUAUUUUUAGAUUUUAUAUAUCAUCUUAAAUGAAGACAAAAAAUCAUACCUUUCUACAUGACACUAAUAAUUAAACUCAAGGAUUGGUGCUGAUUUAAAUUGGCAAGGUUCUAUCAACAAUCACCCUUUCCCGUGCAUUUUACUCGGCGCCAUCUAGAAAUGCUUCCUUCUUUCAUUUUUGGGAUAUAUGCCAAAAACUGAUGAACAAAAUAGAGGAAUGAGCCUACAUUAGUUGCCUGAGAGAUACUGAAACGAAAACAAAGAGGUUAACCAUCAAUGCGAUGUUGCAAGUCUUGAAGUAAGUCCAUUUUGAUUUUUGCGAAAAUCAAGUGCGGCCUACUUUCAUUCCUGUUAGUUUGCCAAGAAGAGAAGCAAAAGCAACGGUAGAAGAACCAAACCUCAGUACCCUGAGGCGAACACCUGUCUCAUCCGCUACACCACUAGAACAAUCUCUCGCCAAAAGCUUGAUAACAUGGAGGCUCUCCUUCGUAUUGACACCGUGUAAAUAUGAUACGAGAGAUAACUUUCUCUCUCAUCACGAGGCAUAAUAUCUUGUAAUAUACCAGAUUUUGUAUACAAAAUAAUACAAGUAAAUAAAAAUAUGCUGAGAUACAAUUUUAUGGUUUUUGAGAAAAAAGUUAUAAGUAUAUAAUGACUUGUGUUAAAUCGAAAUGAAACAGAAAGAUUAUAAUUUCUGUUGAAAGGGAGGGAUAAGAUUAUCGAAAAUGCACAGUGUCAGAAAAUUUUAUGAAAAUUGGAGGAUAAUUACGAAAUAUUUUUAUGACGGAUAGAUUAAAGUUUCAUAUUUUUUUUGACACCGUAAAGUUGGAGAAAAUAAAAUCCGAAAUCUAUUCUAUAAGAAUUAAGUUCGGAUACGUUUUCGUGAGCAACGGUCGUAACUGAAAACAUAAAGUAUACUUUCUGUUCAGUACUGUAAACGAAUAUGACUAGCAAUUUGAGCUCAAACGAUGACUCUGGGAGCUCCGGCGAAAGAUAUCAGAUUUUUAAUUGCCUGUGAGUGAAUUAGUGUUUAUUGGAAGCUUACAUAGGAAAAUUGGAGAUGACAAGUUUCCUCUCUUAUGUAUUAGGGAUGAAACGAUACCGGUGUUGGAGCUCCACCACGAUCCGCCCCGACGUAAGCAGGUCGAAAGGAUAAAUAAACGGAUUCUGGGCCAAGGAAACGGGAAAAAUUUUGCAACCGCCCCGACAUCCGCCCCGAAUCGGCGCCAUGAUCGACCCAAUCGCCCCGAAUAUCAUUUGUAUUUUUAAAAAAUUAUGUCCCGAAACAAUAAAUAUAUUAUAAAAAAUUAAAAUCAAAAUAAGAUUAUUACUCUCUAUUCAAUGUAUUUGAAAUAUUGAAUUUUGUUUUAAUUGUGAUUUAUUUUCUAAUUUACCAUAAUAUGUAAUUAAACUUAUAAUAUAAUAUAUAUUAAAAAUUAUUUAAUUUGAUAUUUUACAAAUAUUAUAAUAUUAUAAUUUAUAAAAAAUAUUUAGUUGCGCGGGGAUCGGGGUCGUCGGCGGCGAGGCGGGUUCAGAGGCGGGGGCGAAUUAUGGGAUGUAUGGUUUGUUAAACCCGAUCCGGAUAUCGGGGCGGGAGGGCGGGCCACUCUCUACGGUAGUGGUGGGAAGGUCGGCGCGUCAUCGCCAGCCCCUAGAUCGCCGCUAUUGCUCUCAUACGCUAAUGUAAUAUAUAGGCUUUGCGGCUUUCUUGUUCCUCAUUCUCUAUUCACAUCUCACAAGAAAAGGAAAAAUCUCCUCUUACCGCCAACACGAUGUGAUUGUAUUAUCACACACACUGCGACCACACUCACAGCUAGUCCUGUUGAUUAGGUCGCAUCUCACUCUGAAUUCUCUCCUAAUGUAAGCAAGCUACUCUCGCCAAUUAGUGGAUUUAGUUUGAUGUGUCUAAUGCUCCGUACUAAGGGUGAUGAUCCUUAGUACUCUCUCAAAGCAUAGGAUUUGAUCUGCUAUGGAACCGACCACCCCCACGUUUAUCCUUGUCUUGUUUAAUCCUUAAUGCUUUAGUGUUUCAAUAGCCUAUAAUGUUAUGCAUUUUAGUAUGUUUAAAUCAGUUUAAUUUGGGUUAAUUGGUUUAGUUGGUAGGGAGCUAGGUUUAUAAUGAUGAUCUCUCACACACUCUCACACUCUCAUCCUCUAAGAAUGGAUUUAGAGGAAUCCUUAUGAAUGUAAAUGGAUGGCUAUUGCAUGAAUUAAUGUUGUAUGACGAAUUCUUGCAAUAGUGCUAUCUUAGGAGCCUCAAAAAUGGCCGAUUUGUGUAAAAAGUAGGUUUGAUAUCAUUUUGACCCUCCAGUAUUCGAUAAUUGCUAGUAAACGAAGCCGUUGGCGAAGCCAGUUCGGAAAUCGACGAGCCGUUUACGAAGUUAUUAAGAAACGUACGUUUAGGUCUCGGGUCCGCCUGAGCCGAGGCGACUCAUAAAUCAUGGGAUCAGGAUCUGGAGCACGUGGCACUGAACAAGACCUUAAUUUUUCGGCAUCGUGGAUCGGAGCUGAUGAUCGGUAGAUCGCGCUAAAAGAUCGGACAAACCGGGUUACGGAUGCCACGGAGAGGCGAUUUGCAGCGUGACAAAGCAAUCGGAAAGCGUUAUUGAGGUGGGUUGUGUCUCACCGAAGCGUUAGGGUCGCUUUUCGUCGUGCAAAGUGUAUAUGUUUACUAUUUGAUGCAUGAUAACGUAUGACUAUUUAUGAAUGCAUUUGUAAAAGUAUUGCUUAUUUUACAGAUGGGAUUAUAAGAUAGAUGACCAGACGCAUAGCAUGAAUUGUGCUUGUGUUUAAUUUCAAUUAAUAUGACUUAUAUUAUAGAUCUUGAGAUUAAUAAGAUGUCCAAAAUUGAUUUUGGAAUGAGUAUUUUAUUAAAUAAGAUCUGUAGAAUGCAUGAUGUUGGAAAUUUUAGUAUUAUAGGAUUAUGCAUUAUAGAUUGUCUUUAUAUAGCUUAUGAAUAACCAUGGGAUGAAACAAUAAAAUAUAUAAUGUGGCAUGAUUGAACAUAAGAGCUAGUAGUAGCUUUCCGAAUAUUUUGCGAUAUAUGUGUUACAUAGUAGUUUUGAUGUGGGCAUAAACAAAAGCACAUAUAAAUCUUGUAUGUAAAGAAAAUAAUAAUAUUAUGCCUUAAAAUGAUCACUUUGGUGAUCUAAAUACUCAAAUGAUGUAUUAUUGGAUUGAUAAUUGAAUAUGAUAUUGUAUUUGAUAGAAGUAUCAUAGUAUUGGUAUUAUAUGUUGAUUAGACAUACUCUUAAAUAAUUCUUCAUUGUGCUAUGACAGCAUAUGAAAGAUAAAUUAGUUUUCGAAAGGAUCCUUCAAUUGAUACUCGGAAUUCUAGAGGACAAGACAAGACAAAAGCAAAUUGUUGAUUAAAAAAGAAUUAAACAAAGAUAUGGCUAGGGAAUUUAGGCCGCCCCAGCCUGUUUAAAUAGUAAUUGUUGGGCAUGAGUAAAGGCAUUAUCCAAUGGCAAAGGUUCUAACGAACAAAAAACUAAAUCAUCAUUAAUUGAAGCAGGGUUUAUACAUUUUUCAUAAUGAGCAUUAAAUAGGACAGUCUUACAAGCAAAACGACAAGAUAGUGGCGAAACAACUACAGUGAUUAUUAGAUUUUAGGUAUGAGUCACAAACAUUAUUAAAUUAGGGUCCACUCCUUUUUGGUUGGGUUUGUUUUGUUUAAAUUCCAUCUAAAUCACCUCCCUGCCCUUGCCGUCCUUCCAGUGUUGUGGGCGGAACAGUACAGAACUUCAAAUUAACAAUACUGCAAUAGAACGCACACCCCAACACCCGCCGAUACUUGUUGUGGGUAGACCAAUCACGGCAUGCUAUGCUUACUAUGAACGUGUGCCGCUCAUGCCGGCGACCAGUGAAUGGAUAAUGCUAGAGUUAGCAAACAUGUGACAGAAAACACGACUAGACGUUAUAGCUGUUAGGAAUAAAAGAACAGUGUGUAUCAAGAAUGACAAUUAUAGAGUAAUGACAAUGGGGUGUAAAGAAACGAAUGAUAUGUAGAUGGUUAGCAACUAAUGUUACUGAUGUAGAGAACAAUAAAAGUUAAGUGUAAAGAUGAGGGAGUGAGACUACUAAAUCCUUUGAAGUGUAAUGAUAUGAUAAUCAUACUUGCUAUGAGUUUGCGCGAGGGGGUGCUCGAGAGGGAAGAGAAAGUGAGGCAGUCAGCUCCACCUGAGGCGAAUGCGUUCUGGAGGUUUGAAAUCCACGGUUAGGAGUAAACGCAGAAGGAGAUCCUAGCUGCGUGAGUCAUGCCGAUGAGUGAAUAAGUGUGAAGGUCGAAGUUAAUGUGCGCGAAAGCCUAGGGGUAGCGGUGAAGUGGAGAAUUAAAGAAUCAAAGAACAAAAAAGGAUCAAUGAAUGUAGUUAAAGGAUUCUUGUUUAUUCAUUAUAAUUUGAACAUACAAGACCGAGAAUAUGGGGGUGGGGGCGAUAGUUGUGCGUAGUGGUUAAAGGUGAACCCUAGGAAAAGAAUGGUAUCAAUUAAUGAAAGAUAUGGACAAUGAGUAGAAACGGCUUUUUAAUGUUUAUAAGAAUGCGGAAAUGUGAUAUAAUGCCGCCUAAGUGGCGGAGUGCCAUGUAGCAAAAGAUUAAAUGAAUAGAAAAGUAUAGACAGAAUGAAUAAUGAUAAAAGAAUAGAAAAUUUUAAAAGAAAGGGCUAAUGGUAAAGAAGACUAGAGUUGCAUAAUUUCAUAUUUGUGAGCGCAGGAACAUUGUAUGACCGAUGUUAAUAUGUAAUAUGUACUGUUGAACAACUAGACAUGUGCAUCAGUGCUCUUUGGACCUGGUGGGUUGAGUCUUUCCCAUGGUCAUGUACCACUGAGGACUCAUGGACAAUAGUCUCACCCCCGUGUUGUUGUUUUUUGGGGGUACAGGUUCACACGCGAGCGGCGCGACGACGCGAGGAAAGGGCGUAGCUCCGUAGUAAGCGCCCUACCACAGAGACCAGAUAGCAGCACCUUGAGUCGGCUUCUUAGGGUUAAAGAAAAGAAAAGAAAAGAAUCGAUGUUGUAAUAUUAUGUUUAGAAAUCGAUUGUAUAUUUGGAAGUUGAGGAUCAAUGUAAUGAAAAAUGCAAUGUAAAAUGAUAAGAUGAAUGAUUGUAAUAACAUAGGAUGUGUUAUGUUGUUUGAUACCUUCCUUAUGCAAUCGUUGUUGAAAAUUGUUCCUGUUUGGAACCUCUUGUACUUGUAUUGAUUGCGACGCCUUGAACGUACAAGGGAGACUCUGUCCGCGUGCAGGGGAAACCCUGUCAGUUCGGCAGUCUGUUGGCGUGCCUGAAUCCGACCAAAGAGGCCGACUCGGGGCGUGACAUAUCUGAAGGGUUGUUGGCAGUGAGGGUGACCAUGUAGAGCCAACCCUUGUCCGACAACAGCUUGUCAGCAACUGGAUGGAUCUUAUCAAUCACCUUUCGCCCGUCCUCUCCUCCAGCCCAGGAAGCAGUUAUUCCUUCACAACCGACUUCUUCCUCUGGUGUCGGCACGUAAGGAGAGUUCACAACCACCACAUCUACCAUACCCGCAAGUCGCCUCUGAAGGCCUGACACAAUAUCAGCAGCCACUAUCUCGGAAUGCACGUCGUGUGCCUCGAGUGUUGCGCGAGUCGCUUCAGCGGCAUGCAGAUUGAUGUCAGUCGCAAAGAAAUACACCUGAAAGCCUAACGGGCUGAGCACGAGGGCUAGAGAUGUAAUUACAUAGCUGCUCCCAUAACCGAUUUCCAUGCAGAACCUUGGUUGGUGCUCCAGAAGGCUUGACCGAUCUGCUAGAAGUGCAUCGACCAAAGCAAAUGAGUCAUCACAUGGUUCGUACACCUCAGGGUGGCCACUAACAAGAGGGAUCUGUGCAAUUUUAGAUGACAUCUUCAAAGGGACCUCGCAAAGGUACUGCUGUGGCUUCAAAGCUAGUUGACUACACACAAAUGAAAUGCCACAUUAACAACGUUAGGUACUUUGAAAGUAAGGAUUACUUGCGCCUCCCGUGCUAUAUAGUGCCAAGGCCAUACUGGCACUUGGCACAGGGUCAUGCCGAUAUAAAAUACGCUCCUUUUUUUAAAGUCCUGGAGGUUCAUGAGUUUUUUGAGGUAAAAAACUUAUACAAAAGUUUUUCCAUACUUGCAAUGUGUAAAUCUUAUAAAUCUACCAAUAUUUGGAGCAAUAAGUGAGUUCCAUUACAUAAUGAGAGCAACUUUUAUUGAAAAAUACAAUAAAAAAGUUCUUUAAUCAUUUUAGAUCCAGUGAGUUUACCCUUGGUACUGGUUUUAUAUAAUUUUUUUUACUUGUAUUCAUGCAUAUACUUUCAUAAUGCAUAUAAAAUGAUUUUCUUUGGUUAUUAAGAAAUUUAUGGCUCUAUUUUUACUAAAUUGUGUGAGAUAAAAUACUAGAGCAAUUUUUACAGUCAGUUAAAGAUAUUAAAACAGUCUUAAAAGCUAAUUUUUCAUGAAAUCUUGAUUAGAAAAAUUCAUGCCAAAGCAUGCCAGUGUGCCAAUAGAGUGCCAUUGGCAUAAAGAGGGGUGUCGACAUUGGCACGCCCUUGGUGCUGUGCCAUGCCAUGCUGCUAGCUGUGGCAAUGAUUAGGCGAUCCAUGUUUGAGAAUAAAACAACAGAAAAAUGCUAUUAUAUGAUCAAUAGAAAAAGAAUAUGUCAAUAUGAUGUAUGAUAAAAAGUGCCAUUGUAACUUACUAAUAUCUUUCUCAACUCAUUGAAUUUUGGUGAAGAACUUUAGUGUCCUUUGUCUGAUAUUAUAUUCCUCGCAAGCAAACAAGGGAAAGAAGUAUCAAACCACCAGGUUAUCUCAUUGGUCCAACCAGACACAACUCGCACUGUAAUCAAAAGAAGAAAAAACUGUCAGUUAUCAUCCUUCAGUACCUCAAAAAAUGGCAAAAGAUUAGUAGAACCAAAGUAAAGAAGAGGUAAAUGUUUCAUAAUUCACAUCAAUAUGGGCUUGCACGACAGCCUAAGAUGAGGGACAAGUUCCUUUUGAUACAAAGCAACAAAGAAAGAUAGCAUUAGUGGAAGUGUGAACCACUACACACAUGUAAGACAUCGAUAGUAUAUCAUCUAUUUUUUGAAGAUUAAUCAAAGUAAUCUCAUCAAAGAAGAAAAUAAAGGAAUAUUUGCAUUCGUAGAUACUACUAUAGUUCUUGUGUACUACCAGGAACUAAAAUAACAGAAUAAAAUAAAAAUCUGACAAGAAUGUUAACCAAAAUAAAAAAUGGGACCCCUAAACAUUCAGUUAAGAGUAACAAGAAAAACUCAAAAAAUAAUAGAUGAAAAAGAUGUGAAGAUAUGUGUGAAAGUAAAAUUGCACUAACCAUCUUUUUAAAUAGAGAAAUGAAUUAUCUCGCCGAUGAAAACAAAUGAGAAUGCUUGCUUAAUGCAUGCUUGGCAUGGUGUUGAAAUUUGAAAAGGAGAUGUGUUGAAAAGAACUUUUAUGACCUUCAAAAAAAUUUGUUCAAACAAAGUGUCCUAAAUUAUAAAAGCCACCCUUGCACUUUAACCCCUAUCUUAACUACCCCCUUGCAUUAAAAAUUGCAUCAAUUACCACCCUGCAUUUUGUCACCAUCUCAAAUAGAAUAAAAAAUUUGGAAAUGUAACAAAUUACAUUGUAAAACUUCACUACAAGGAGUUGGCAUAUUACAUUGUUCCAUAUCUCAAUAUUUAUUUAAGCCGCAAGUCAAAAAAAAAGAUAAAAAUUUAAAUAAAACAGAGAUCUAUAUUAUUAAAUUAAUAUUUUAUUGAGAAAUUUUAUUCAAUUUAUAUAAAUAUAUUGCAUUAUCUAUAAGUAACUUCAUCUAAAAACUUGUUUUUACAAAGUUUUAUAGUUGAAUGCAAUGAUUAUCCCACAUUCCCAGACCUAUUUGAGAUAAUGGCAAAGUAUUGAGGGGUAAUUGAUGUCAUUUUUUAUGCAGGUGCUAAUUGAGACGGGCUAAAAGUGAGGGGGGCUUUUCAUUAUUAUUAUCCCAAAAAGAGUAUUUGGCAACAACAAGUAGUAACAACUUCAAGGAUAAUAUAACAAAACCUUUUCGAUGAGACAACAGUUUUUGUUUAUGCUAUAUACUCAGACUUUUCUAAUUCUAAACCAAAACUGUUUGACUACUUUCGUCGGCAAAAUCUGCAACUACGUGGUCGCGAACCUCAAAUCCUAAUUCUCAACGGCAUAGAUUAGCAAAACUCUUUUCUCGACUUUGGACAGCGAAAAGCUAUUGUCGCACCGAUAGAACCUUCUCUGUUAUGUCCUCAAUGAAAUCAAGAUUGACGGUCUUUCUCUUGCCAAUGUCGUCCCAAUACAUUGGAGACCAACAUUUUCGUACACACAAGGCAUCAUACAAGGCCAUGCCGAUAAUUGUUUGGUGGUUGCUAUUAUAGACGAAUUCCACCAAGGAUAGUUCUUGCUCCCAACUCCCACCAAAGUCUAACACAUAUAGUCGAUGCAUACCCUCCUAAUUUGAAUUACUCACUUUUAUUGGCCAUUGCUAGCAAUGGUAUGCCAUGCAAUGACUCAAUCGCGUGCCUAAAGCUUGUUGCAUUAUCCGUCAAAAGUGUGAAGUGAAGUGAUGAAGGCGUCCCAAUCAGAAUUGAUCAACACGGGUAUCCAUACAGAUGCAAGAUCUCGUCGAUAUAAAGCUGGGCCAGCCUUUCAUCUGUCCCCGUCAAGUUAAUCAACAAGAAGUGUGCCGAUUUCGUUCAUCAAUCCACCACAAGCCAAAUGACGUAGUAGCACCGUUGCGAUCUAUGUUAACCCGUAAGACAUUUGUCGUUAAUUCUUCCUACUUCCACACCGGUAUCUGAACAUUCCAAGCUAAAUAUUGCUGGCUGAGGUGUUACAGAGUAAGUCGAAGACAUGCCAGGCAUGUCUUUCAGUUUCAAGGACGAGCCUUUUAAAAGGAACACAGUAACACACACACGAACACACAAUCCGGUUACUAUAUUAUUAUGAGUAUGAUCGUCUUCGUAUUCAUAAGUCAUUUUCGAUGAUCGAACUUCGGAAUUGACAAUCUAUACCAUUAAACCUUCUAAAAAAACGAAUUUCAAGAUUUUUUGAAACAUCGUUUACAUUACAAUCAAAAGACCUUAAAGUUAAAACUGACAAUUUUUAUGUCGAUGUGGGACAGUUUCCUCAUUUAACAGUGUAGAAUAAUGGGAAUAGGUUGAAUUUUUGAUAAUAGAAAAUUCUAUUUGCUAUCUAAAUCAAGAUAAGUAGCUCUAAUCUGGACUCAAAAAUUCUGAUCCUCUAUUUUUAGAAGGUCGUUCGAUUUUGAUCAUGCAUUUUAUAUCCGCUUCAUGAACUUGACACUAAUUUUCAUAAACAUGAAAUUCGGUUUCAAGGUACUCAAUGCUCUUGAUCAUGUUUAAUAGUAGCCAUUGUUGAUUUAAAGACUUCAUCAUCAAAAUGACUUGUGAAUUCACACAAAUCAAACAUCAAAUAAGUACAGUUUUGUGAUUUUACUAAAUGGUGUUGCCGCAAUCUAAGGCUGCAAGCUAAUUUAAGAUUGUGGGCAUUUUUGUAAUUUUCCAAACUAAAAUAUAUUUGCCUCUGGCAGGACUAAACAUACAUUGGUUUGAAACCAAUUCAACCCACUAACCCUUAGGUCACAAGUCGUGAGUCCAUGCUUGCCUCGUAUAACACGAUCGGAUGGCUAUCACCCACUUCUCUAGAGAAUGCACUAUACUAGAUUGUGAUCCAUUCUAACAAGGUUUAAAGUGCCAUGGUACAGGGUCAUGCCGCUAUCAGCCUGGCAUGAUACGGCACCGGCACGCUUGCAUGCCGACACAUGAUACGCUUGCAUGCCGAUGAAUACGCAUGACCCCCUACUAGCACGCUUUGGUACGGAUUUAUUUCAACUUUUUUAAUUCCAAUAAGCUUUUAUAAUGUUAUUUUGAACGAUUUAAUCAAAUAAUUAUGAAUAUUUGUUAUGUAUAACUUACUAUACUCAUCAAUUAAUAUACUUAUAUAUUUUUUGUAUGUAAAGUACAACUAUACUUGAUGCAUAAUAGAAAUUUUUACAGAUUAGAAUUUUAAAAAUACAAAGACAUCUUUUUUUUUUCAUUUGACUAUAUUACAAUUUUUCUUUUAUAAAAUACAAAAAAAUAAUUUUAAAAAUUAUUUGAAAAAAUUAUUUUAAAAAGUAUUUGAAAAAUUAUUUUUUUAUUAAUGUUUUUAAAAAAUUAGUAGAUCUAUCAAAAAAAUUAAGCAAAAAAUUAUAUGACAAAUAAAUUAAAUAAAUUUAAGUAUCAAUUGAUUUAAUUUAGCAUUUAAUUUUAUCAGUAUUUUCAAUCUUCUAGUGCAAACAUAAAAUUUUAUGUGUGAUGUGCCACAAAAUUUGUUUAUUAAGUUUGAUUCUGUUCCCUUAAUUCGCCAAAAAUUUCGCGGUGCGACAAAUUUUGAUAAAAUAAUUUAUGAAGAAAAAAUAGAUGUUUGUGGUGGAAGCGGAGGGCUUGAACAAAUCUUUUGUCUAUAUAUUGAUAAACAAAAAAAAUUAAAUUAUAAUUUUUUUGACUUACCAAAUAAGUAAAUUUUUGAUUUGUAAUGUCUUUGGGGGUGUGGGCUAUCCAGAAUGCUUCGGAUACCCCAAAGAACACAACAAAAAGGCAAAGAAAGCAAAAAGCAAAAAGGCAAAAAAAAAUAGCAGUGCCGGCACGGCACUAUGCCGCAGCACUCGCCGUGCCGCUCUGUCUUGUGUGGCACGGUACGUGCCGCCCCAUGUUGUACGGCACAGGGUACCACUUUAAACCUUGCGUAUUAACUUCUCCGGAGAAGGCACUCUCUACUAACUUGCGAUCCUUUCUAGAGGCGCAACUAGCCAACUACAUAGGGUACUCACAAGUGCAAACGAUCAUUAUCAAUGCUUAUUUUCAAGAUUACUAAUAUGCUCAAUUUGACAUUGCAUAAUUGACAAAAAAUAACCACGCAAUCUUGAUUACUGAAUAUAUGCAGACUACUAAUUAAGAAAAAAGUUAUGCACUAAUAAUAAUUACAAAGAAUUAAACUUGUUGAUAUUAAUGAUGCAUCCUAUAAUAUGUACAAAAGUAUGACAAAGAGUACAUUAUAAUUACUUGGUUUUGUAGGAACUAUAACAACCAUAAAACGGAUUAACCCUCCCCAGAAAAAUAAUUCCCUAUGCCGUCGGCUCACUAGCAUUCACAUCGAACACCUUCAAACAUAACGAUAUUUUUUAAAAAAAAGCGAAUUCAAUUGCGAUUGGGGUCACUUAGCUGGACUAGAUGCUCGUAAUGCCAAUGGUAGUAUAUUCUCAAUAAAAAUAUGACAAUCAUGACUUUUAAGACCACUAAUCUUACACUCGAUAACAUUCACACAUCUUGAAAUAUUUGAGGCAUAACCAUUAGGCAUUUUAAUAUCCUUGAGAACUUGACAAAGAAUUCUUUUUUCUAUUUUAGAUAUCAUGAAGCAAUCUGAAGGCAACCUUGUCUUUCCAUCUGCAAGUAAUCAGGGAUGAAGUUUAGGUCUAAUGCCUAAUUCUACUAAAUCCUGUCAUGCCUUUGAAUUUUCUUUUGAUUUUUUAUCAAGAUUCAACAAACUGCCAAUAAAAUUGUUAAACGUAUUUUUCUCUAUGUGCAUUACAUUUAAACAAAUUAUGAGGCAACAAAUUAUAUUGCCAAUAUGGUAAUUCAUUUUCCAGCACCUCAAUGCGCCACUGGAUUCUGAACUAGAAAUAGAUUCAUUUGAUGUUGUAUUGUCAUUUUUUAUUCGUUUCUUCUUGUUGGAUCUCAUACUAUUUAUUCCUUAGUUAUUUACUGUUGGCGGUUUACCAAAUUGGAAUUGCAUGCUUUGCAUUUGCCUUAAUAUAUCAACUCCUGCUAUCCGAAGAGCUGCAGUUCUUAUCUCCUUUGUGUUGUCAAAAAAAACUUUUUGAAUAACGAAAUAUGUCCCUCAGGUAACAACGACGAUGGUGCGUGUAAUAAUACUUCCCUCUAUGGCGUAACCACUUAGAAUGCAUUUGCUCUGGACAACAAGAACAUGCAAACUUCCCUUUAGUGCUCAAGCGAAUUAAAAUUCCAUAUGCAAGAAAGUCAUUUAUGGUCCGUAAAAAUGCAACCCGCAUAUGAAAAAAAAAAUUCGGCUCAAAGAAUCAUACGUUUCAACGCCCUCUCACAAUUUUUUAAUUCCUCAACUAAAGGUUAUAGAAAACAUCAAUAUCAUUCCCCGGUGCUUUUUCACGUGGAAUAAUCAUUGAUAACAUAAAAGAUGACAAUUUCAUAUAAAUCCAAGGUGGUAAAUUAUAUGUAACCAAUACAAUCGGCCAUACACUAUAAGUAGUACUCAUUGUUCGAAAUGGAUUGAAACCAUUACUACAAAGAGCAAGUCUCACGUUGCGGGAAUCAAAGGAGAAAUUACAUAUCGUUCAUCAAAUGACUUCCAUGCUUCACCAUUUGCAGGAUGUCUUAAUAGCGCAUUCUUCUUACGAUGUUCUUGUAUCAUUUGAUGUGCUAUCUCAUAUCAUUCGAUGUUCUCGUAAAGGCAACAAAUCCUUUGCAGCCUUGGUAUAAGAGGAAAAUAACGUAAAACUUUUACUGAAAUCAUCCUCUUUUGUCUUGGUAUGGCAGGUGUGUUAGAAGCAUUAUCUUCAUUAUUUGAAAUAUGAACUUUUUCCAUACUAGUAUUUUCCAACAAGAGGAUCCACAAACACCACAAACAUCCUAAUUUACUUUAUCAUCUCGAAAUAAUAUGCAAUCAUUAGGACAACAAUGAAUCUUCUCAUAACUUAGACCUAAGGUCUUAAUAAUUUUAUUUUUUGCUUCAUAUAAAGAACGGGGUAAUGAAGUACUUUCAGGAAAUGCAUCAGCCAGUGUCUCUAAUAACAUACUAAAUGACUUUCCUGACCAACCAUUUAGGCAUUUCAAGUGGAACAAAUGGAGUAUAAAAGAUAGUUUUUAAAAUGUCUUGCAUUCCAGAUAUAAUUCUUCAUUUGCAUCUUUUAGUAGUUUAUGAAAAUCAUGAUUUCCAUUAGUCUCUUGACUAGAUUGUUCUAUGCGAGGUUCUACUGUAGAUUGUUCUGGGUCCGCCCUUCCGCCAAAUUCUUUAAUUGGUAUAUCUAUUUCAUUAGUUGGUUCACCGGCUAAGCCAAUGGCAUCAUGUAAAAGUCUAUAUAUGUCAUCUGAUCUUCUAAACUUUUGGGUAAUAGGGAUGCACUCUUGCACAUGUAAAACAUAUUGUACAUGCAAAGACUGAGAAGUUGAAGAAGAGGUGGCAAUUUUAAUUAGGGAAAUAAAAGAUAAAGACUCCCUCCAUGGCAAACCCAUCUUAUAUAUUCCCUUAGUAAGCCAUCACAUAUUAAGUGUAUCUUCGCAUCCUCAAAUUUCUGUAAUGAACAAUUAACACAGCGUACAUAGGGGAACAUUAUUUUGCCAUUAUAGGAUACAUUACAAAAUGUAAAUUCUACAAAUUGUGAGACUUCAUUUUUAUAUGCAUCACUAUUUCUAGGUUUGAUCAUCCAACUUUUAUCCAUUAUAGCAAAACACUCCUUAAGAGGUGAUUUUCUAAGCAUUCUUUCAACACGAACUAGUAGAUUCUUUAUCCUCACAGCGAUGCCCCAGCAAGAGUUUGACUAGGUUCGGGCGUGAAAACCUUCUACCAAAUUCACCUAAUUCGCCUUAAACUGCAAUUGGUAAGAAAUUUUUUAUGCUACAUACUAUACCACAUUCAACAACAGAAUUAUGAAUAUAAAUACAAUCAAUGCUCAAAAAACUGCUUAAAGAAAAAAAAAUCUUUGCUGCUGCUUAGUUACUUUAUUUCUAGCUGAGUUACUUUAUAUUGAUAAAGUAGGAACUGCACCUACAAUUAGCUUUAUUGAUUUUAGUAAAGCCUACGAAGUGAACACUAAGUUUAAUACAUAUGCUCAAUCAAAAACAACUCUGCUGCCAAAAUCAAAAGUAUAGUGCUAAUAUGGUCAUUUUCUGUAUCAGAAGCUAUUGAUAAGCUUUCUUAUGGUUGCUCUUCCAACAGUCAUAAUUUUUCUAGCAUUGUUCUUUUAAGCAAUAAGCUUAGCAGCUAUAGUAAGAGGCUUCAACAACACUGAUCAAAAGUAUAAUGCCCAGUAUGGCUCACUUCUUCCUGGCAUACUGUAACUAGGGAGGUUUUAAUGAAUAACGCUUACAUCCUCCAGAAUUCUACUAAAAGAUCCAAAUAAAAAGACAAAUGUACAACAUUGGAGACUAAACAAAAACCUAAAACUGUAUCUAACUUCAGUUGCUCCGGUCUAAAUCGCUUGAAUUUACAAUAAGAUCAAAACAAUAAGAUCUAAAUUAUUUGAAAAUACAACUUCAAUCAACAGACCAGUGCUCCGGAUAAGUUGCAAGGAGAAAAAGUCACUUAACUCUCCAGCCCAGAAAAGAAUGCCUUCACUGCAUAAUCUGCAGAAAAGCAUAACCCACCUUCAAAUGUAAGAAGCACAAUAUAGGGAAAUACAGAACUGCGUAAAGUAUAUUGCGCCACAUGGGUGACUCAAGAUAGUAGUGAAGAUUGAUUAGAUCAAUAAAAAUUGUACUUGUGUUUGUAUUAGCAAAAGAUAUUAGGUAAAUUUACAUCUAUCAGGUCUCACUGGGCAUGCAGUUAACCAUGUGAACGAAAUGAUGAUGUGUAAAAGGGUGGCGCAUAAGAAUGAACAAUGACACGUACCCAAAACAAUAAAAUCUGAUAACUCCUCUCAAAGGGGGAAAACGAGAGUAGUUUUAAAAGUAACUACGGAUGAAAGUAACUAAGCAGCAGAGAUUUUUCUUCUUUUUUUUUUUUUAGGAUAAGCUGCAGGGAAGUGGGGAAGGGCGCACACCGAGCAGGCCAAGUGCCUCGGUGUAACACACUGGACCUUUGCAAAUUAAGAUGUUCGAGUGUUUGGACAGUGUCCUGAGCUUUUCCAGACUUUCUGGUAGGUCGUUGACUGUGUUCCGACCUAUGGUUUGUAUCCCGAGAUUUGCGGUUUAAAGCCUUGCACCAAAACCCGAAAAAAUGGGAUUUGGCCAACUCUCGGGUAGCUAUCUGAAGGUCUUGUACCGGUACAAGUUGGUGGUUGUACCGGUACAAGGUUGAUGGUUGUACCGGUACAGCCACCGGGCUUGUACCGGUACAGAGCCGCUGAACCCCCCAAACCCGAGCUUCGGGUUGAGAUUUUUCGCGGGGCUUGUACUGGUACAAGGGCCUGUGUACCGGUACAAGGGGGCAUUUUUCGUACAGUUUGGACUGCAGGGGUGUUUUUGCUAUUGUAGCAUUUCUACAAAUAACCCCACGCCUCCCCUCUUGUUCCCUGAGCUUGGAGGCAGUGGAGAGAAGGUAUGGGAGCCCUCUAUUCUCUCUCUUUGAUUUUCUUUGGUUUAUUUGGAAUUUUUGUGGUUUAAUCCUCUCUUUUUGCUCCUCUUUGCUUUUUGGUGCUAUUUCCACCAUGGGAGAAGCUUGGGAGCUUGGAGUUGAGUUUGUUGGAGGAGAGAUUUUCAACCCUAGUAGAUUUUGAACCUUGUUUGAGGCUUCAUGAGAGGUUAGUUGCUUACUAUUUCUCUUUUGAUCAUGAUUUUCAUGGUUUUUGUAUAGAAACCCUAGAAAUGAGGACUUAGGGUUUAUUUUGGGCGUUUUGGGCUUUUGGAGCUAGAUUCUUUGAUUUAGAACCUUCCUUGGGCUUGGAUUGGAAGGAUUCUAGCUCUCCUUUGGAGCUUAGGAGAGGAUUUUUACUCUUGAGGUGAGUUUUGGCCCUUUUGCUUUAUGGUUAAUGAUUGAGCUAAUUGCUCUUCAUUUCGUUUGGGUGACCCUAUUUUUUAUGUUUCUAGGGUACUAGGAAGCUAGUGGAUACCUCUGUUCGGCGAAACGAAGGUUUCGAUUUUGGUGGGUUUGGCCUCAUCUAGAUGAGAUAAACUUCUCAUAUGAGGGUUUUUAUUUAUCGUUAAGUGAAAAUGCAUGCAUAUCCUUAUUAGAUAGAAUAUUUGAGAAUUUUAGAAUGCUUAAAAUGCACAUGUUAUAUACAAUGCAUAUUUGACCUCUAUAUAGUAGAGAGUUUUCAUAUUGGGCUAGGGGUCUAUGGUUAGCAUUCUUACAUUUGAUUGACAUCAUGUUACAUAUGGUGCAUAUGGCAUAUAGAUUACACUCUUGGACUUAGAACGCAUGCUUGACAUGGUUGAACAUAUCGACAGUAAGUGACAUAGGCUAGAGUGUAUACAAAUAGUAAGCUAAUAUCAUAAAGCGGCAUUAGGCUUGGACUAGAUAUGGACUCGGCAAGCUAAUGUCAUAAAGCGGCAUUAGACUUGAUGGAUAUGUAAAUUGCAUGUGCAUGUUAUUAUUAUGAGAAUUAUGCCAAGUUGAUAGUUGCAUUGGAAAGAACAUACAUGUAGCAAUACGAGAACAUGCUAGAGAGCAUGUGUAUUAAUCUAUUAUUGAUAGAACAAGCUAACAUCAUAAAGAGACAUAGAAUGUGAAAUGUGCUUAAAUUAUAGCCAUGUUUAAGUGUCAUAAAGAGGCACUAAACAUAGUGAAUGUGGGAACUUCACCUUGAGAUUUGGACUUAGUAAAGCUAAGGUCAUUGACAUCGAAAUUAUUGAACGGUUAAACCUUCACAUUGAGACAAAGUACUAGACCUUUGGGUUGCUAGUGACUGUUACCAUGUUAGAGACAUGAUGAUUGGAUACUUGAGAUGAUGAUCUUGCUUGCUUGCCAUUUGUGCUCAUUCGCACAUGCUUGUACGGGUCGCUCCCUACAAGCCGGCACUCCGGAGUUAGCCUACGCGACAUAUGCUCGCUCGUGCGGUACUGAGAAGCCUACGGGGUCGAGUGGGACAGACACAUUCCAAGGGCAGGAAUGUUGGGCUACCACAGGCACUUAGGCGGCACAAGCCAGACCUCAGCCUGUGUAGGUCCUAAAUGAGGAUUGAACGACUGAUAAUUUUAAUUAAUUUGGGUUGGAUAAAACACUUACUAGGACAGUUUGAUGGUAGGUGUGAUUCUGUUGCAUGCUGAUUGGCCAUUGGAGUUAUAUAGUAUACUUGGGGACGUUUAUCUUUAUUGCAUUGUUAGUUAUACUUUUGGGUUGCCCAUUGGGAUACUAAUACUUAGAUAUGUAGUGUUGGCUCUUGGGACAGUUUAUCGCAUACUGUUGUAUAGUAUUUACUUGAUUGCCAUCCAUAGCAAACUUGUUUAAGUUAUUGGCAUACUGGACAUUGGUAGAGUAGGAUGUACUCCAUGUUUCGACGGCCGAUCCGCCUAUGAUUACUGUGGCAUAGUAGAGUAGCUGUUGUAUUAUUACGAUCGCUUUAUUUUACCGCCAGUUGAAUUUUUUAUGUUAUUCCUGUAUUCCUGCUCGUGCUUUUUGGGCCUUAGGUUGGUUUUCGGGUUUUGAUGCAGCGUGAGUAACGUUUGUCCACUUGGGGAACUAUAAAUCUAUAGUUCUCAUGCCCCCCUGGUGUUUAUGUUUUCUUUCAGAGCCUUCCACUUCGGGAGGGGCUCGGGAUCGCGGGAAAGGUUUCGCCUUAAGCUAGCUAGCGAGGGAUUUGGCGAUAGGUGGUCCACCUCUCUUUUGUUUUUUUUUUUUGGAGAGGUUGUGAGAGUUUUGUACCAUAUUAUAGCGACCACCCUACUGUUGUAUCUUGAGACUUGUGAUGUAUUAGUUUUAUUAUUUUCUAGUGGUUUAGUCUUUUUUUUUCUUUCCUUUUUAUUUUCGCUUGUUGAUAGAACUUAGCUGCAUACUUGCUCUGAUAUCGUUAGUUAUUGUUUAUUUUAUCUUUCAUAUCACUUUGUUGUAGACGCCUUAUAUGUGCAGGCAUAUGGCGGGUCUAGGCACGCACCGGGUAGGGCCUAUGCCGGGACCCGGGGCGUGACACGCGGGGUAGGGGGGCCCAAGCGCGGGGGGGCGAAGCACACCAAGCUGGGGGGGCGCCGGAGCAGACGCGGCCCAAAAGGUGGGGAUAGCAGACCGCGUGCGGCCGCCGGCGGGGGCAAAGCAGACGUGGCCGUCGGGGAGGAGGAGGAGACGCGGCCGUCGGGAGGUGUUGUGUCGGCAGAGGCGUUCUCUAUUUUUUGGGAGAUAUUAGGGUUUUUGGCAGAGUUUGAGGCAUUUUUUUUUUUGGCCGGGGAAACCACUUUCUUUAUAAUCGAUUCUAUAGUGUCAACCGUAGGGGCGUAAAACGGGCCUAACGGCCUGUGGGCUGCCUGUCCCUGCACGACUGCAUGCUGGGCCGUGGCCCUGCACGGCUCCUGUAGCAUCUGUGAAGGGCCAGCCCGACCUAGCUCCAUGGGCCGUGCUAGGCCGAGCUUCUGCAGCCCGUAGGCCCGGCACGGCACGGCCGUUGUCGUGUUUGGGCCGUGCCGAGCUGAAAAGUCUACCCCGAGCUUGCCGUGCCAGCCGGGCCGACACGACACGGUCUAUUUACUUCUAAAGCCUGUAAGCUGUAGCCUAUUACAUAUUAUAAGCCUGGCUAGCAUGCUGCAUGCCCAACUGCCUUUAAGUUUUAGGACUUUUUGACCAAUUCUCAGACAGAGGGCCCAACGGCUCAAUAGCUGUUGGGUUAUCUUUUUUCUUUUUUUCUUCGAAAAAUACUAUUUUUACUAUUAUUUAAACAAAGAUUAAAAAAUAAAGAAAAAUUGAUCAAAAUGACGACAACGCCCUUACUAAAAUUCAAAAAAUUGAUAGUUAGAGAGGGCAUUUUGGUCAAAAAUAAAAAAUAGUUUUAAAAAAUAAUUUAAAAAAAAUUUAAAGAGGGACAGGGAAAAAAGCCUAUUGGCUAUUUCCGGGCUGGCCUGAAGCCCGGCCGGGCCCAUCCUAGAGGGGCCAGGAGCUGGGCCAGACCUUCCCCUCCAAGGAAAUAGGCCGGCACGGCUCAGCCCGCAUUUGUAAGCUGAUCGGGUUGGGCCAACCCUCGGCUCGAAUCGGCUCAGCUAAUGUGGUUCGUGCAUGCCAGCACAGCACGGCCCAGAUUACACCCCUAGUCAACCACUAGAGAUGCAAAUAAGGCGGAUUUGGAGACGAGAGCCCCGCCCUAACUACCAAAUCUCGCCCACGGGUUAAAAAAUAUAUCCCAUAAUCCGCUCCGCCUCAUAAUUCACCUGUCGCCGAUGUCCUGAAUCCGCCAGGUCAACUAUUUUUUUUUUUUUACAAAUUAUAAUAUUAUUAAUAUUUUGUAAAAUAUAAAUUAAUAUAUUUUUUAAUAAUAGUGAACAAUAUUACCAAAUUAUAUAUAUAAUUAACAACAUCAAUUAUAAAAAUAAAAAAUAUCAAUCACAAUCCGAAGCAAAAUUCAAAAAUUUCAAAUUCAUGAGAAAUGAGAGUACUAACUUAUUUGUAUUUUGGACUUUUUGGUAAAUAUUUUAUUUUUUGAGGGGUAUUUUGUUAAAAUAUAAAUGGUUUUCGGGGCGGAUUCGUGGCAGAUUAUGGCAUGGCGGAUUCAAGGCAAAAUUGGAGUAGGUCAAAAUUUUUCUCAUUUCUUGCCCUAAAUCUAUAUCGCAUCAUAAAAAUCACUAUGUUUUUUGCCUCGAACUCGUUUAUUUUUUUUGUUUAUUCCCUCAUUUAGGGCGGAUUGGGGCGAGAGCUCCACCAUCUUGGAUUCAUUUACAUCCCUAACAAUUGCAAGUCUGGAUUAAAAAAAUAAUAUAUAAAGAUAUGUCCAGAACUCGUGCGGUGUGGUGCUAGCAAUUAUAAUUAUAUGAGAAUGAGAAAGAAAAAGAGAGAGAGAGGGGGAGAGGCAGGUCAAAGGGCACGAGCAAGGAAGGCAGAGGAAGUCGGAGGGGAAAGCUCGAGAAAAGAGGACGAGUCAACGGAGUCAUCGGCGAGGUAGGCGAUUUUGAAACCCUAGUUUCAUUAGUAGAUGAACCGGCAAUAAAAACUAAACUGACCUAAUUCUGGUUAAGUGGUUGUCUGAAGGGAUGUGCGGUUAGGAUGAUAGUGGUCUCCUAAGGUUGAAUGGGUGGUUGGUGAAAUAGAAUAAUCUAAGGAGUGAAAAUGGUAAAAGGGGUAGAUCUAAAGGUAGAAAACUUACAUGCAUCGAGUGUUUGGUGUUUUUAAAAAUACCAUAGCCGGACUAUAUUAGAUAUAUAUAUAUAGAGUUGGGUUGGAAUAGUCUUAGGGCGCAUUUGGUUCGAGUUAUGUAAUAUUACAGAAUAUUUCAAUAUAUCCAGGUAUCUUGGAUUUCUAAAUUAGAUUACCACUGAUGCUGCAUUAAUGCAUUUAGUUUAAUACAGUAAUAUAAUACUGGAUUGCACUGUUUAGAGCGUUGCUCAAACAUUAAGCAAUUCAAGCAAAAGUGGAGAAAACUAACCGAAUACGAAGAAACCUCUCUCGAUCUCCAAAUGAGAGGUAGAGUCCUUCAAAUCCAACCUAAACAAAGUUUCUAAACCCAUCAAUUUGGUUCCAAAACCCUCUAAUCAAAAAUCUCCAUUUCUAACCCUAAAUCUCAUUUCUUGGGUUUCAUCUCAAGAAAUCCAUCAAAACAUGCUCCAAAGGGUAGAUUAAGCUUACUAACCUCACAAGAUGUCCCAAACCAAGCUUGGAAUGCACCAAGGUUGAAGAUCCUUCCUCUAUCAAGCUCCAACAAAAGCUUCAAAGCUUCUCCAAUGGUGAACACCCAACAUAGAGCAAGAAGGAGAAGAAGAGAAGGAUCAAAACUAGCUAAAAUCCAUCAAAAAGAGAGAAAAGCUCAAGGGAGGGGUCCUCACCUAGUUCCUCCACGAUUUAGGGCUCAAAAGAGAACUCAAGGGCUGUGGAGGUGUUUAUAGAUAAGCUACAAUUACCAAAACACCCUCGAAAAACCAUCAUUAUGCAGUUAGCCAAAGUGUACCGGUACAAAUCCUGCGAGACAGCAAACGCGAGCCUCGGGUUUGCAAUUCACCACAUCUGUACCGAUACAACCAUCAAGGUGUAACCGGUACACUUUCUGUACCGGUACAACUAUCAACAUGUAGAGGUACAUAUUCCUGCAGAAUAUGAACAAUCCAUUGCUCAUCCGCUAUGUAAUCUAGUCGUUAAUUUAGCAUAACAAAUCGAGUAGGAUUACACCGAAAAUAUUAACGAGAGAGGGAUCGUGUAUCUUGCACUACUGAAAACCGAUAAUACUAUAUAUUAUAUAAAAUAACAAUUUUACCCUCUGACUCUCGAAACCCUUUCAAUAUGUUAUUUUAUAAAAUUUAAUUUAAAAUUUUUAAUUGUCAACUUUAAGUUUUUAAUUUUUAAUUUUCAAUUUAAAAUAUAAAAUUUAAAAUUUAAAAUUUUUAAACUUCAAAUUUUAAAUUUUAAAAUUUAAAUUUAAAUUUAAAUUUAAAUUUUAGAUAUUAAGUUAUAAGUUUGAAAUUUCAAAUUUUAAAUUUCAAAUUUUAAAAUUUAAAUUUUAAAUUUUAAAUUUUAAAAAAUAAAUUUGUAUUUUAAAUUUUGAAUUUUAAAUUAGAUUUUAAUUUAUUAUUUUAUAUAUAUUUAUAUUUAAAUUUUAGAUUUUAAAUUUAAAACUUUUGUAUUUUAUAUUUUAAAUUAAAAUAUUAAAUUUAUAUUGUAGCAUCCCUGGAGUACAACAUUUGAGGCUUGUCGACACGUCGUGAGGGUGUCGGGACACGUGUCGGGACAAGUCCGAGUCGCGUUGGCGCGAAAUAGAUGCAAAACGGACGCAGUGGGGACGCAAGAGCAGAAGUUAACAUUAUGCAAAUUGCAGGUUUCCUGCUUGUUGAACCUGUACAACAUCAGAGGUGUACCGGUACACUUGCUGUACCGGUACAACAUCGGAGGUGUACCGAUACACUUCGCCUGUUUCCGCGCAGCUGCUCUCAGGUUGCCAUUUGUACCGGUACAACUGCUCGUGUACCAGUACACUAGGGUAGGUGUGUCACGCCCCGAAGCCGCUACCAAUUUGGUCCGGUUCGGGCGCGUCGAACAGACGCCGAACGGACAGCACCUCUCCUGUCCGCCCAAGGCCAAACAACCAGAUCAUGUACAGUUAAGCGCCCAGGGAAUGCUUAAAUAACAUACAUGAUCGAUACGAUGCACACAAGUGCACAAUAGCUAAGAGCAAGAACCACGAGUGAAAUACAAGUGUAUAAAGAGAGUACAUCUAGCUAAUACAACCAUUCAACAUUUACAUCAUUUGAAUAUAUUACAUUUCCAUCUUCCAAAUGUAAGUACAUGUUCUCAAAAUACAUCAUGGCUUCCCAAUAUCUAUCCAAAACAUCUAGUACACGAGGGUACUCUAAUGCAUAAGGGAAAGCUACUAACUAGGCUCACUUAGGGCGCUAUGCCCUUGCCGCGAUCCUCGCUCGGCUCGCCUCUGUGUGUACCUGUACCCCAAAACCACACGGGGUGAGAACUAUAUAAAUAUAGUUCCCAGUGGGUUCGGCCGCCGACGCCGCCGGUUUUCCCACUAGGUCUAAGCUGGCACAGAUAGAGAGAUAGAUAGAUAUAUAAAGAUAAACUGCAACUACUCUAUCAUGCCACCAAUGAUAAUAAUGCAUGCAACAACUACUAUCAUGCUAGUAUCAUGUCAUGAGUAUAUAAAGGUGCAUAGUAAUGUAAACUACAACAUACACUAUGUCUACUCAAGGUAAUAAUGCAAGUCUACUAUGCAUUUCAUGUUUAUUACCCAAUCUACUUGGUUGACCCGUAGGUUAACCCUCGACUCACUCUCAAUCUCAUAGGUGAGGAGAAGCUGCACUCGCACACCGAGACCGUCUGCGGGACAACUACGUCUGCCCCUAGUGAAGUACUCCGGAGACUCGUGCUUCGAUGGAGCGACCACCGACAAGCAAAACAGACUAGUGAGUAUGAUCCAAUCCUCUCAAGAGGAUACCCUGUCUACUAGGGUCAAUGUGCCUCUGCUGCACAGUCAUGAUAUAUAAUCAAUGUUGGGACCUCUACUAUCCCUAGGUUCAUGUCAAGUUUACUACAUUAGACUCAAUGCCACUCGUUCGAUCAUUGUAGUAAGUUUUCUACUAAUUGACAUGCCACUCGUUCAAGUUUAGUGUCUCUACUACACUAGUUCAAUGCCACUCUACUAGGCUAUGUCCAAGUUCGGCUCUUUAUGCCGCUAUAGGAUUCUAUGUCAUAAGACCCAAUCCUCAUGCUACUCUAGUCUAGGUGUUCAACUCAUAAGUACACUACUAAGAAGCAUGCAAGGAAAAGGAAAUAUACAUUUAUUAAUCCUAUAAUGCAAUAUGAUCAACAUAUAUGUAACUUAGACAUAAAAAGAAACCCGGAUGUUCCGGAACGACACCCCCCACCUUUCGUGUAUACGGAGGCUCUAGAAAUGUGCUUCGGCGUCCUUUACGACGAAGCCUCGGUCUUCUUGUUCAAAUCGAUGCUCAAUCGGCCUUAUUUUGCCGAUAACUCUUGACCCGCUCGACGAAUCGAAUUUCCGACUUCGCCUCCGCGUUUAGGCACCUAUCAAUUAGGUCUACAAGGUCUCAAAUGAGAUCAAUUCCAUACUUUACCAAAAACCCUAUUUUGGUGCCCUAGGGUUAGCAUCAAGCUAAACCCAUCUCAAAACCCUAGGUUCUAGCUUCAAUCCUACCAUUCAUGGUGCUAGGGAUCCAUUUGAUCCCAUCAAAAGAGCUAAAACCCAAAAACCCCAAAUUUCACAAGCUAGGGUUAGAAGCUUACCUCUAGGUUAGCUUAAAAGAGAGAAGAGAGGAUGAGGGAGAAGUCCAAAAGCUUUCUUUUAUUGAUCUCCUUCUUUUUCUCCUUCCUUUUCUUCCUUCUUUUCCUUCUCCUUUUUUCUUCUUCUUCUUCCUUUUCUUUUCUUCCUAGAGAGAGAGAGCAAGAGAGUGUGAGAGAGAGAGAGAGAACUGAGGGAGAGUGAGUGGGAGAGAGGGACUAAUAAGCCCUCUAAUGUAACAAUAUCCAGCUGGCCCCCUCAACUUUUCACUCUGUGCACAGCCCUCACCGGGCGAUCUGCGCGCGGAGGGACCGGUCUCUCCGACUUGGGACCGGUCCCCGAGAGCUUCAGCUCGGGUCACGCGUUCGGGUACCGGUCUCUCCCAGAGAGACCGGUCCUCAGGAGACCGGUUCCUCCCUAAGAGACCGGUUCCCGAGAACUGGAAUCUCAGGACUUAGCCAAUUUUCGGCUUUCCUCGCUGGGAUCGCGUUCGGAAACCGAUCCCUCCCUACCAGGGACCGGUUGCCUCAAGCAACCCCGCGACACCAGCUGAUGAGACCGGUCCCUUCCUGCCAGGGACCGGUCCCCGAGAGCAAUUUGCUCCAGUGCAAGUUUUGCACUAUUUGCUCUCGUGGACUCAUUUCCAAUGCACCUUUGGUGAUUUUAACAUCUUUGGCCUUUCCAAAGCUUACGAACACGACCCUUGGUCGAUUUUACAUGAAGUCCAACUCUCGUAUUUCGAGAAUUCACUUCCUCACAAGGUGAGAGGGCAUUUUGGUCUUUCCAUACCUCGUACGUGUCACCGUCUCUCCCCAUUUACUAUUACAGGUGUAGGGAGCUGAGAGAGAGAAGGAAUGCUUUUCUUCAUCUCCUCUCUCUCUAGCUUGGAUCGGUCGUGGAUGUGGUCUCGGGUGGAGCUGGAUCGUCGUUGACGUCGCGUCGCGGAGUCAUUCGAGCACGCGAGCUUCGUGGUGACUGUGUUGGGAGGCCGGGCGAGCGUGGAUUUCUGCCGUUCUCGACGUCGUGCCGAUUUCGAGGGGGGCUAAUUGUCGGUUUACCUUCUAAGUAUAUAUAUAUAGUCGACAUGUGCUCGUUGAGUUGUUUUAUAUAUUGCAAAUCGCUCGAUUCAUGGAUUUGGCGUAUUCGUCUAAAAAAUCUAAAUUUGGAACUUAGUAUUAGAUUAUAGUUAUACUUACACAUGUUGGACUUGGAUAUGACUUAGGAGAAAAUGCGAUUAUAAACUGUCAUAAGCUUAUACUACCAGAUUUAGCUUUAGGAGUCGUUGUUAUUUUAUAUCGCCGCAGUAUUAGCGUGGUGAAUACCCCAGGUAGUAUAGAUUGCUGUUACGCUCGUGCUGGGAUGUCGAGCCUAUUUUUACAGUAGUGUUCAGACUAUUCCGGACUGUUGGGUGCCGUCGGGGUUGAUGGUGGACCCAGAUUGCCGUUUUGGCAUCAGAUUGUGCCGAGAGCACAUGACUUGUUGGUAGUUAGACCAGUUAGACCCUAUGUAUUUGAUUAUAGCCUGUGAGAGCCUGAAUGAACUUGGGAGAGACACUUGUAAACUCGUUAGGUCGCGCCCAUGAAUGUCAUUCCGGAAUGAGGUUUCAUUGCGAUGAGGUCACAGUUUCUAUUGGGAUUGUUCUUGAGCCGGCCACCCUCGGAGUGGUGUACGGUGUAGCUAGAUACAGGCAGGGUGGGUCCGUUUGGGCAGCCCGGGUGAGAUCGUAGUGGCGCUUUUUCCUACCAUUCGUGAGCUUGUGAUUUAAGUGGAGUCACAGUCGUCUUGUCGGACUUUUACUUGAACCGGAUACCCUGGGGCAACGGCGUAGUCUAGUUAGGCGAGACGGGUGCGUUCACAGUCUCUAGAAAGUUUUCUCCACCAAUUGCUCUUGAGCCACGGUGUAGCCUAGUUAGGCGAGACGGGUGUAUUCACAGUCUCUAGAGAGUUUUCUCCACCGACUACUUUUGAGCUAUGGUGUCGCCUAGUUAGACGGGACGGGUGUAUUCAGUCCCUAGAGAGUUUUCUCCACCGGCUACUCAUAGGGUAGUUUACUAGUUCGCUUCGACAGGCAGGUCGGGAGUGUUCAGUCCCUGUGAUGGGUAUGCUUACAGCCCCUGGUGAGAUUGGGUCAGGAUUGACAUUUCCUAUAGAUUGUUAGUGUCAGAGUUUGAUAGUAUAGUGAUUUUUAGAUAUAGAUUUGUUCCAGCAUUACUUAUUUUUCCAGCUCCCUUCUGUAGACUUAGUGAGUGGACCGAUGAUGUUGAGGGCGGCACCUACCGAGGACUACUUGUUUUUACAUUAGUUCUCAUGCCCAAUUGUUCCCUUUUAUUUUGCAGAGCCGUCGUCUUUGGCUGCUGCUGCUGCUGCUGCUGCUGAUCAUGAUCGUGGCAAGGGCGUCGCGAGUUAGAGCCCUACCAGACGAGCCAGAGCUAGUAGAGUACCUUCUGCAGGUAGUUAUAUUUUAUUUUUGAGUUCACGUACAUACGGAUGUUAGGCUUGCUUGUGCGAGCACUUUUGUACCUGGAUGCUACGUAUGUAUAUGGAACUUGUUUUUCUAUCUACUUUUAUUCUAGCAGCUCUAUACUACUGGUUGUAGUGUUAUUUGUUUACAGAUUCAGUACAGCUUCGCUUCGUAUAUAGGGAAAAUUCCUUCGUAUACGUCAGGUCUGUUGACGUGCCCGGAAAAAUGUGUAAUUCGGGGCGUGACAUAUAUUUUUGUUAAAAUUUAAAAUUUAAAAUUUUUAAAAUUAAAUUAUUUAAAAUAAAAUUUGGUAAAAAAACAUUGUUUAUAAACAGUAAAAAAAAAUUACGAAAUAUGACUAUGGGCAAUUUUGGAAUAAGCUAAACUUUAUUGUCUAGAUUACUAAAUUUUAUAGACAGAACCAAACAUAGCAACGCUAUAAACAGUGCAAUCCAGUAUUAUAUUACUGUAUUAAACUAAACGCACUAAUGCAGCAUCAGUGAUAAUCUAAUUUAGAAAUCCAAGAUACCGGGAUAUAUUGAAAUAUUUUGUAAUAUUACAAAACUCGAACCAAAUGCGCCCUAAGACUAUUCCAACCCAACUCUGUAAAUAUAUAUCUAAUAUAGUCCGGCUAUGGUAUUUUUGAAAACACCAAACACUCGAUGCAUGUAAGUUUUCUACCUUUAGAUCUACCCCUUUUGCCAUUUUCACUCCUUAGAUUAUUCUAUUUCACCAAUCACCCAUUCAACCUUAGGAGACCACUAUCAUCCUAACCGCACAUCCCUUCAGACAACCACUUAACCAGAAUCAGGUCAGUUUAGUUUUUAUUGCCGGUUCAUCUACCAAUGAAACUAGGGCUUCAAAAUCGCCUACCUCGCCGAUGACUCCGUUGACUCGUCCUCUUUUCUCGAGCUUUCCCCUCCGACUUUCUCUGCCUUCCUUGCUCAUGCCCUUUGGCCUGCCUCUCCCCCUCUCUCUCUUUUUCUUUCUCUCUCUCAUAUAAUUAUAAUUGUUGGCACCACACCACACGAGUCCUCGACAUAUCAUUAUAUAUUAUUUUUUAAUCCAGACUUGCAAUUGUUAGGGAUGUAAAUGAAUCCAAGAUGGUGGGGCUCUCGCCCCAAUCCGCCCUAAAUGAGGGAAUAAACAAAAAAAAAUAAACGGGUUCGAGGCAGAAAACAUAGUGAUUUUUAUGAUUCGAGAUAGAUUUAGGGCAAGAAAUGAGAAAAAUUUUGACCUGCUCCAAAUUUGCCUUGAAUCCGCCCUGCCAUAAUCUGCCACGAAUCCGCCCCGAAAACCAUUUAUAUUUUAACAAAAUACCCCUCAAAAAAUAAAAUAUUUACCAAAAAGUCCAAAAUACAAAUAAGUUAGUACUCUCAUUUCUCAUGAAUUUGAAACUUUUGAAUUUUGCUUCGGAUUGUGAUUUAUAUUUUUUAUUUUUAUAAUUGAUGUUGUUAAUUAUAUAUAUAAUUUGGUAACAUUGUUCACUAUUACUAAAAAAUAUAUUAAUUUAUAUUUUAGAAAAUAUUAAUAAUAUUAUAAUUUGUAAAAAAAAAAAUAGUUGACCUGGCGGAUUCAGGGCAUCGGCGACAGGUGAAUUAGGAGGCGGGGCGGAUUAUGAGAUAUAUUUUUUAACCCGUGGGCGGGAUUUGUUAGUCUGGGCGAGGCUCUCGUCUCCAAAUCCGCCUUAUUUGCAUCUCUAGUGGUUGAUUAGGGGUGUAAUGUGGGCCGUGCCGUGCUGGCAUGCACGGCCCACAUUAGCUGGGCCGAUUCGAACCGAGAGUUGGCCCGGCCCGACCAGCUUACAAAUGCGGGCUAAGCCGUGCCGACCUGUUUCCUUGGAGAGGAAGGUCUGGCCCAGCCCCUGGCCCCUCUAGGAUGGGCCGGGCCGGGCUUCAGGCCAGCCCGGUAAUAGCCAAUAGGUUUUUUUCCCUGUCCCUUUUUCUAAUUUUUUUAAAUUAUUUUUUUAAACUAUUUUUUUAUUUUUGACCAAAAUGCCCUCUCUAACUAUCAAUUUUUUGAAUUUUAGUAAGGGCAUUGUCAUCAUUUUGAUCAAUUUUUCUUUAUUUUUUAACCUUUUUUUUAAAUAAUAGUAAAAAUAGUAUUUUUUUCGAAGAAAAAAAGAAAAAAAAUGACCCAACAGCUAUUGAGCCGUUGGGCCCUCUGUCUGAGAAUUGGUCAAAAAGUCCUAAAGCUUAAAGGCAGUUGGGCAUGCAGCAUGUUAGCCAGGCCUAUAAUAUGUAAUAGGCUACAGCUUACAGGCUUUAGAAGUAAAUAGACCGUGUCGUGUCAGCCCGGCUGGCACGGCAGGCUGGGGGUCGACCUUCCGGCUCGGCACGGCCCAGACACGACAACGGUCGUGCCGUGCCGGGCCUACGGGCUGUAGAAGCUCGGCCUAGCACGGCCCAUAGAGCUAGGCCGAGCUGGCCUGGCACAGAUGCUACAGGAGCCGUGCUGGGCCACGACCCAGCCUGCAGUCGUGCCGGGACAGGCAGCCCACAGGCCGCUAGGCCCGUUUUACGCCCCUACGGUUGACACUAUAGAAUCGAUUAUAAAGAAAGUGGUUUCCCCGGCCAAAAAAAAAAAAGCCUCUAACUCUGCCAAAAACCCUAAUAUCUCCCAAAAAAUAGAGAACGCCUUUGCCGACACAACACCUCCCGACGGCCGCGUCUUAUCCUCCUCCCCGGCGGCCACAUCUGCUUUGCCCCCGCCGGCGGCCGCACGCGGUCUGCUAUCCCCAUCUUUUGGGCCGCGUCUGCUCCGGCGCCCCCCCCUGCUUGGUGUGUUUUUCGCCCUCCCGCGCUUAGGCCCCCCCACCCCGUGGCAGUUGGCCCGCUCGGUGUGCGCCCUUCCCCACUUCCCUGCAGCUUAUCUUUAAAAAAAAAAAAAGAAAAAUCUCUGCUGCUUAGUUACUUUCAUCCGUAGUUACUUUUAAAACUACUCUCAUGUUCGUUCUUAUGCGACACUCUUUUACACAUCAUCAUUUCGUUCACAUGGUUAACUGCAUGCCCGGUGAGACCUAAUAGAUGUAAAUGUACCUAAUAUCUUUUGCUAAUACAAACACAAAUACAAUUUUUAUUGAUCUAAUCAAUCUUCACUACUAUCUUGAGUCACCCAUGUGGCGCAAUAUACUUUACGCAGUUCUGUAUUUCCCUAUAUUGUGCUUCUUACAUUUGAAAGUGGGUUAUGCUUUUCUGCAGAUUAUGCCCUGAAGGCAUUCUUUUUUGGGCUGGAGAGUUAAGUGACUUUUUCUCCUUGCAACUCAUCCGGAGCACUGGUAUGUUGAUUGAAGUUGUAUUUUCAAAUAAUUUAGAUCUUAUUGUUUUGAUCUUAUUAUAAAUUCAACCGAUUUAGACCGGAGCAAUUGAAGUUAGAUACAGUUUUGGGUUUUUGUUUAGUCUCGAAUGUUGUACAUUUGUCUUUUUAUUUGGAUCUUUUAGUAGAAUUCUGGAGGAUGCAAGCGUUAUUCAUUAAAGCCUCCCUAGUUACAGUAUGCCAGGAAGAAGUGAGCCAUACUGGGCAUUAUACUUUUGAUCAGUGUUGUUGAAGCCUCUUACUAUAGCUGCUAAGCUUAUUGUUUAAAACAACAAUGCUAGAAAAAUUAUGACUGUUGGAAGAGCAAACAUAAGAAAGCUUAUCAAUAGCUUCUGAUACAGAAAAUGACUAUAUUGGCACUAUACUUUUGAUUUUGGCAGUAGAGUUGUUUUUGAUUGAGCAUAUGCAUUAAACUUAGUGUUCACUUCGUAGGCUUUACUGAAAUCAAUAAAGCUAAUUGUAGGUGCAGUUCCUACCUUAUUAAUAUAAAGUAACUCAACUAGAAAUAAAGUAACUAAACAGCAGCAGAGAUUUUUUUUUUUUAAGCAGUUUUUUGAGCAUUGAUUGUAUUUACAUUUUGUAAUGUAUCCUAUAAUGACAAAAUAAUGUUCCCCUAUGUACGCUGUGUUAAUUGUUCAUUACAGAAAUUUGAGGAUGCGAAGAUAUACUUAAUAUGUGAUGGCUUACUAAGGGAAUAUAUAAGAUGGGUUUGUCAUGGAGGGGAGCCUUUAUCUCACCUCUUCUUCAACUUCUUAGUCUUUGCAUGUACAAUAUGUUUUACAUGUGCGAAAGUGCAUCCCUAUUACCCAAAAGUUUAGAAGAUCAGAUGACAUAUAUAGACUUCUAAAGGAUGCCAUUGGCUUAGCCGGUGAAUCAACUCAUGAAAUAAAUAUACCAAUUAAAGAAUUUGGCGGAAGGGCGGACCCAGAACAAUCUACAGUAGAACCUCGCAUAGAAUAAUCUAGUCAAGAGACUAAUGAAAAUCGUGAUUUUCAUAAACUACUAAAAGAUGCAAAUGAAGAAUUAUAUCUGGAAUGCAAGACAUUUUAAAAACUAUCUUUUAUACCCUAUUUGUUCCACUUGAAAUGCCUAAAUAGUUGGUCAGGAAAGUCAUUUAGUACGUUAUUAGAGACACUGGCUGAUGCAUUUUCUGAAGGUACUUCAUUACCCCGUUCUUUAUAUGAAGCAAAAAAAUAAAAUUAUUAAGACCUUAGGUCUAUAGGUUAUGAGAAGAUUCAUUGUUGUCUAAAUGAUUGCAUAUUAUUUCGAGAUGAUAAAGUAAAUUAGAAAGUUCGUGGUGUUUGUGGGUCCUCUCGUUGGAAAAUACUAGUAUAGAAAAAGAUCAUAUUUCAAACAAUGAAGAUAAUGCUUCUAACACACCUGUCAUAUCAAGACAAAAGAGGAAGAUUUCAGUAAAAGUUUUACGUUAUUUUCCUCUUAUAUCAAGGCUGCAAAGGAUUUGUUGUCUCUACGAGAACUUCGAAUGAUAUGAGAUAGCACAUCAAAUGAUACAAGAACAUCGUAAGAAGGAUGCGCUAUUAAGAGAUCCUGCAAAUGGUGAAGCAAGGAAGGCAUUUGAUGAACGAUAUGUAGAUUUCUCCUUUGAUUCCCGCAACGUGAGACUUGCUCUUUGUAGUGAUGGUUUCAAUCCAUUUAGAACAAUGAGUACUACUUAUCGUGUAUGGCCAAUUGUAUUGGUUACAUAUAAUUUACCUGUGACACCCAAUAGUCCCACAUCGAAUGGAAAUGAGGUUGUCAUUGGAUUUAUAAGAAACUUAGACAGUAGUAAUAAUAACUGGGCUGAAGCAUUUUGGGUCGGUGGUUGGGCCCAACGAGUUAUUAUUGCUAGUGGGCUGGGUUGUUACAUUUGGUAUCAGAGCCGGUUCACCAGCUGGACGUGUGUGGUGAGUCUCGGCUGAGCCAUGGUCUGGAUGACGGGUUAGCGAGACGAGUCUCACAUCGCCUGGUGAUCUUGGACUGUGUGUGUGAUUGGACUGACGAGGACGUCAGGGCCUUAACAGGGAAAGUUUGUGACACACCAAUUUCUUUUUUACAUAUCAUAUUGAGUUUUAAAUGUGUUUUGUAUGAAUUCUUCAGCUGGUUUAUAAAAAAAUUAUCCUCGCUCGAUUUGUUUCCCUUUUUUCCUCUCUCUUAAUCUUUUUCCCGGGGUUUUGAUUAAUUUCAAUGGGUCAAUUGCCUCAUUGGCUUUGCUGCCUAACUCAUAAUAUUUGAUGACCGGGGGAGUCUGAGCAGAGUAUAUAUAUUUGUUUCCAUGUCCAUUCAUGUAUGCGGUUUGGUAUGAUUUUCACGAGCUGACUUAGGAGUUCUUUGUCUUUGUUAGGAGCAUUGAUUUAAUACUUCAACCAUUGGUUUUAUGCUUCAAUUUUUAAUUCCAAUCGUUUAUUGGACCCCUUCAUAUAUGCUGUUACAUACAAUUUUUCACAUGAUUUGUGCUGGAGAUUUCAUGAAGGAGAGGAACUCUUGGAUGGUUUUACUUUAGCAAAAAUUCAGGUUACUUGAAAUGUAAUUGGUGCAUUUUAGUUAUUUAAGCUGAAAUUUCAUCAUGUUGAUGGAAUGGUGAAAUUAACUCUAUUUCCACCAAUCCCUUAUUUGAAGUUGUGAUUUCUUUAAUUCUUUUUCUGUUUUUGGAGCUGAAAGCUUAAGAAAUUUCACUACAGGCCGCAAGGUUGAUUGAUCUUUAGUUUAGUAAAAUUUCAAAUUUUUUUUCGUCAAUUUCACUAUUGAUGCAGCUUUGUAUUGGAGUAGUUUACCUCCUGUGCUGAUUUUGGGGGCACUGAAUUCUUGCUAGAUUGGAGGCUGAGGAGACGUGUGUUUGUUAUCGAUUCAGCACUAUAGUUGGGUUAGCACUUGAGGUGGGUUUAAUUAAUCAAAUUUGAUGGAAUUCCCACUGUGUACUAAAUUCCUGCAUACAUGCUAUCCACUUAUUCAAAUACAUGCUUAUAAUCAAUCAACUCAACCAUAUUGGCAUAGCUUCAUGUUAGAUAUUUUGUAUAUCGAAAACUUUUAGUGAUGAUAACCUUUUUUCGAUGAUGUCAGUUCAAAUCGACUCAAAUUUAUGCAUUGAUUUGUCGGAGCUGUGUUUUUUGACUAGCUUUUGUAUCCAUUUAUUUGGGGAAGGGGGGCGGGGGGUGUCUUGCAAAUACUUAGUUAUUUGACAUCAUGCUUUUGAGGCUAGAAAAAACUCUUGCCUAUUGCCUUUCCUUCAGCAUGAUUUGCCAAAAAAAAGAAAUUCCUGGAAUCCGCAAGUACCUUUUUUGUUCCUGUUUGUUUUCCAAAAAAGAUAACAAUCAUGUUUUCUACAUUUUCUUGCUGGCUGUAGGUUCUUUGUUGCUCUUUGUAGAUGUGUUCUGUGUGGUUUAUAAUAAUGCUUUGUCAUUUCUAGGGUACUUUGGCUUCACCUAUUUUUGUGCAUGCUAUGAUGACUGCCUCUUGAUUUGUCAUUUCUUGGGUACUUUGCCAGCGCCUCUUUUUGUGCAUGCUAUGAUGACUACCUCUUGAAUACCAUCAGAACCACGGCUUUGCUACAUUGUUUUUUUACUAAUAUUACUUGGUUUUAUUUAUUUCUUGCUGUUUUUUUCUAAUUUUCUUGCUCUUCUUCAAGGCUGUGAUGAUAAAUAGAGGAAAGUGUGGAAAAUAUUGUCUUCGAAUGAGUGGAAGUUUGGAUGGCCUACUCAUAGGCAACUGCUUCCUACUAUUGUUAUUCUUAUGAUUGCACACAUUUCCCUCCAAUGGUAAUCUACUGCUCAGCAACCAUUUCCUACUGUUCUUAUCCUUUGUCAUUGUGCAACUUUUCUUUCUACAAUAAUCUGUUUGUUCUGUUUUCUAUUUGUUCUUUGUUGAAUUCAAAUUGAAGCCGAAUUUCGUACAAAUUAGAGUCACUUUUCGCAUGCUUUUGCCGCAAACUUCUGGGUCAUAUUAGCACGUUUCUGGAUGCCGCCGACAGCAGCAAGGGCUGCUGCCAGCAGCAGCAAAGGCCGCUGCAAUGACAGCCUGCAAUACCAGGGACUACUGCCGCUGCAGCAAGCGGCAGCAGGGGUUGCUGCUGCUGCUGCUAUUGCGGCCAGCAACAGCAGAGUCUGCUGCUAUGGUUGUUGCCUCAGAUAGUGACAGCAGCAGGCGCUGCAGCAGAUGCAAUAGUUGACGCAGUAGCCGGAGUGGGCACAUUGUUCAACGAGUGGUUCCGCUGAAGUCACAGCAGUAGUGGCUCAAAUUUGGGCUCCAAUUGCGUCCAAAUUCACCUCAUUUUGAAAUGGAAGUUGAUCCAAGAAUGAGGAUGACAAUGAGCUUCAAGUUGCACUUUGUUCCAUUUGAAAUUAAGAUGAAUUGGUAGACAAGUGAGUUAAUUAUUGAAGAGAGUGGGAAAUUCAGAUUUUGAUGGAUAUUUUCUAACGAUGAAUUGGUAGGCAAGUGAGUUAAUUAUUGAAGAGAGUGUGAAAUUCAUAUUUUGAUGGAUAUUUUCUAAUGUCUUCAUCUAUUUUUUCCCUAAUUGAGUUGUAGGCAUAAAAUUGAUUUCAUUUUGGUGCUCAACUGAGGAAGAGAAGCCUGUGGACUGUUUGCAGCUGCAUUGGUUCUAUUUUUUUGUAUCAAGAUCUUUCGAAUGCAUAUAUUAUCGCUGCUGAUUUAUAAAUUUGUUUUCUUUUUCCUGGCAAUUUUUUUUUUGUGUGAGUACCUCAAAAAGGUGCAGGUUUA